RNAcentral lists this long non-coding RNA (59857 nucleotides) under Malus domestica (apple). RNAcentral describes it as "long non-coding RNA (MDOM_LNC005847)". The record is from RNAcentral. Lineage: Eukaryota; Viridiplantae; Streptophyta; Magnoliopsida; Rosales; Rosaceae.
CAUUUAGGAUGUGUCUACGAAAGAAUGGUCUCAUGAAUCUAACUUCAUUAGAUCGCAUUCUCCCAAUCACAUACUCCUUGGACUUUAUCGUUUAAGCAUAUAACAUUUAUAUGAGACGGCUCAAACAAUAAUCUUUGCCCUUUAUAUUAAACUAGAUUAGUUUAACAUGUGAAAUGUCCGUAAAGUAUCAUCAUAUGAUUGGUUUUAGGGCACAUUUCCAACACUUUGGAAAGACAUGAAGGUUGCCAUGCAGCCAAAAAGCUUUGGGUAUGUCAACAAUUUCCUGGUAGGGCAUCUAUUCACUUUUGAUGAGCUCGGCGAGCCACUAGCUAAGAAUGAAUCAGAUCGCGAUCGGAUGUUGAACCUAUUUUCUUAUGUGAGUGUUACUUUGUCAUUGUUGGAAAUGUGCCCUAAAACCAAUCAUGUGAUGAUACUUUACGGACAUUUCACAUGUUAAACUAAUCUAGUUUAAUAUAAAGGGCAAAGAUUAUUGUUUGAGCCGUCUCAUAUAAAUGUUAUAUGCUUAAACGAUAAAGUCCAAGGAAUAUGUGAUUGGGAGAAUGCAAUCUAAUGAAGUUAGAUUCAUGAGACCAUUCUUUCGUUGACACAUCCUAAAUGUUCCUGAUCAUAGGAUUGCCAAUUGGGCAUUGACAGUCUGUCAAGAUCGGUACGUGCUAUGUCUUCUCUCAGGGAGAGUGACUAGUCUCGAGUCAUUGGUGUGUGUGACAUCAAGACAAGUACGUAGGUGCACAGUAGAGAAUGAGUUCACUGAACGCGAUCAACGAAGAGUUCUCAUACUCAUGUCACAUGAGAACUCAUGGUUGGGAUAAUGCAAAGUAAUCCUUUGACCUGAGUCAUCACUAAAGGGAGAAUUGAAAGUAAGUUUCAAUUCACAAUCGAUAUAAAAUGGUUUUAAUCGCCCACUGCCUCGCUAAAAGGAACCUAAUGGAUCGCACACCGUGUAAGGUGGAGAUUGAAGAAACAAUGGAGAUGAGUAAGAAUGAUUAAAUGGUUUAAUCAUUUAUUUAUGGCAAGGAUUAAUUAAUAUGUUAAUUAAUCAAACGAAUAAGUUCGUUAAAGACCUCGGGAUAGUUUUGGACCUUAAGGCCCAAUGGGCUUCGAACGUCAAGCCCAUUAACUUAAGUUGUAUGACAACUUAAUGAAUAAUGAUUCACAAAGGCCCAAUUAGUCCAAAAUAUCCUAAUGGCCGGCCAUAUUGUUUAGGGUAGUGAACUUGGACUUAUUUACAAGUUUGCCACUCAAAUGAAUAAAGGUAUAAAUAUGACUUUAUAGCCAAAAUUCAUUUAGGGUUUGUUUUGGAGAAAAUUGGAGAGAACAUGUCUCUCCAUUUCUCUCUAAAGAGGCCGGCCACCUUGGGGGUGCAUCUUGCAAUCCCACUACUCCAAGGUCACUCAUUUCUUCUCCAAUCUCUCCUUGGUGAAGAGACUUAGAGGUUCCCUAUUUUGGGAACUUGGAGAAACCUAUUCAUCCAUCCAAAUCCAUAGAUUUAUUAUGCAAGGAAUGAAGGCCCUCUCUUUGGGUGAUUAGCCUUUGCUUAUGCAAAGAGGAAUCUACAAAGGUACAAUUUCAACUCACUUUGUUUUGAGUUGAGUUUUGGUUCACCAAUCUACUAGGCUUUGAAUUUCUUGGUUAAUGUUUUGUUUUUAAGUGCAUGCUAGCAUGAUUCCGCCUUUAAUUGUGAAUUGCAUGCUUAUUGAUGUUGCUUAAAUGAACAUGUUUUCCCUAAAAUAUUCCUUCAGUCAUUUCCUUACUUUCUCAUCUUUGUUAUUUUUAGGUAAUGGUGAUCGUCUUGUCAUACAGGUCAUGACUGAGUACGACGACAGAUUGCGAGAGGCUGAGCGGUAUAAGGCGAAAUUGAAAGAGAAUAAGUAGCUUAUGGAUGAUGUAAAAAAGAAUAAGAAACUUUUGACUGAGGCCAUCUAGCUUAAGGACCAAACCAUGGAGAGGUUGACGAGACGGAAUGGUGAGAAUGUAAGGCUUAAGAAACCGUUUGAGGCGACUAAAAAACAGUUGGAGGUGGCUACCCUCGAGGCAUCCAAGGUCAGGAAGGAGUUGGAUGGUGCCUUGAUCGAGGUUUCUGAGUUGAAAAGAAGUAUCCCAACUGAGAAGGAGGCUGCCGUGCAGGAGUACUUAGGUUCUCAGGCUUUUCACCAUGCUAUUAGACCUCACAGCACCCGGGAGGUUCACUUUGAAAAAAGAAAAUGGAUGGCCGUCCUUGAGCAUUAUGACGAUGGAAGUAUUAUUCGAAAGUACUGUGAGGAGAUAGAUGAGUAUCAUUAAAAGGGUGAAACUUUCGUCCUCGCAGUUGAUCCUAGAAAUGAAGAGGAGUCUGUGAAGGAAAUUUUAUGAAAAACAUGUUCAUUUGAGCAACAUCUAUGGCAUGCAAUUAACAUUUAAAGGCGGAAUCAUGCUUGUGUGCACUAAAAAACAAAACAUUACCCAUGAAAUUCAAAGCCUAGUAGAAGGGUGAAUCAAGACUCAACUCAAGAACAAAGUGAGUUAAGAAAUCUUAUACCUUUGUUGAUUCCUCUUUGCAUAAGCAAAGGCUAAUCACCCAAGGAGAGGGCCUUCAUUCCUUGCUUCUUAGAUCCAUGGAUUUCUUGGAUGAGGAUGGCUGAAAGGAUUCUCCAAGUUCCCAAAGUUGAGAACCUCUAAUUUUCCACACCAAGGAGGGACUUGAAGAAAAGAUGAGUGACAUUGGAGGAGGAAAGAUUGCUAGCUAAUCUCCUCCAAGGGGCCGGCCUCCUAGAGAGAAAGGGAGAAACAUGUUCUCUCCAAUUUUCUCCAAAAGAAACCCUAAAAGAAUUUUGGCUAUAAAGUUCUUUAUAUAGUCCUUUCAAUUAAGUGACCUAGAGAACCAAAGGCCUUUCUUUCAACAUAUGGCCAGCCAUAUUAUGGCUUUUGGGCUGUUUGGGCCCUCUUGAAUCUUUAUUCAUUAAGUUCAACUUAAGUUAAUGGGCUUGACAUUCGAAGCCCAUUGGGCUUUAACGCCCAAAACUAACCCGAGGUCUAAAACGAACUUAUUCGUUUGAUUAAUCAUCAUAUUAAUUAAUCCUUGCCAUAAAUGAUUAAACUAUUUAAUUAUCCUUACUCAUCUCCGUUGUUUCUUCAAUCUCUACCUUACAUGGUGUACGAUCCAUUAGGUUCUUUUUAACGAGGCAGUGAGCGAUUAGAACUCUUUCAAAUCGAUUGUGAAUUGAAACUUACUUUCAAUUCUUCCUUUAGUGAUUAUACACGUUUAGGGCUUCCACAAACCAUGAGUGACACCUAGCAGUAUGUCAUGGUUACCCAAGCUAAUCAGAAGAGGUGGAGAACCUAUUCAGUUUAGGAUUACAAUGCAAUACAGUCUUUCUCUAAUACAAUACUCUUGACCACAUUGUUUAGUUUGAUAGUUUAUUCAUGUCUACUAUCCAAUGUGAUUCUCUUACUUAUAUGAUUACCUUGAAUGUGAUUUGGAAUGAUUUCCUAAAUCUCAUUCAUACUCUGGCUAGAGAUUUUUAAUCAUAUCAUAAAGUAUUCUCCCUCAAACAGUUUGAAGGUUAGAGAUCCCUUGUUGCACAUUCACUUGCCUCUAUGGCUAAGUGGCUUAACCGCAACUAUGCCGUGGACACCCUCUGACGGAGUGGCUUUGACAUAGUUAAAGAUCAAGGACCUAACCACAAGACAACUAUGAUGCCUCAGGUUAAAGGACUACUUUGCAUUGUCCCAACCAUGAGUUCUCAUGUGACAUAAGUAUAAGAACUUCUUGUUGAUCGUGUUCAGUGGACUCAUUCUCUAUUGAGCACCUACAUGCUUGUCUUGGUGUCAGUCACACCAAUGACUCAAGACCAGUCACUCUCCCUUGGAUUCCCUUAUUGCAUAAACACAUGAUACAAUAAAUAGUGUCUGUCAAUAAGCUUUGCCCUUCAUUAAACAUAUAAAAGUUUAAUACAUUAAGUAUUCCAAAAAGCUAUUACAUCAAAUGAGUGGCUUUGUGGGCAUACUUCCAACACAUUAAGCUUCAUGAAAACUAUAAGCAUUGAUGAGGCAAUUGUUACUAUGAAAAGCAUGAAACAUUUGCCAAGAAUUCACUUAACACGAUCGUUUAUAAGCGACCUCCACUACUUGCAAAUAUAAGGUUGUAACUAUUAGGUGAAACUUCCUUAUAUUUUAGCUUCAAAUUUCUGCAUGAAAACUAAGUUGGCCACCUUAAUCAACACACAAAAAUAAGUCAUCAAUCAAACGGUUAAGCAAAUUGCAUUCACAAUUCAUGAAAUAACAAUUAGACGUAAUCAAUUCAUCUUGCAAGCAUAAUCAUGGUAUUGAAUAACCCCCUAGCCAAAAAGGCUUAGUUCCUCAUGUUCACAAAACAAAGGAAAACAAAUUUAUACAUUGUAAAUAUAAGAAAGAGAACACCUAAAUAUUCCAACGAUUCAAUGUUGAACGGCUAGAACCUUCAAGUACUUCUUCUUCCUCUCCUUUGCUGCGGCACAAGGGUUGGGGGUGAGUUUUGGGAGUUAUGGAUGAUGUAGAAUGAUGGGUUUAUGGUUAGGAUAGGUGUAUGGGACAACAAGGUAUGUUUAUGGGCAGAAACUAGGGUGAAUGGUGGUAGAAUGGUGCGGCUGAGAGUCUCCUAGUGUUUUUGGCAUGAAUGGUCAGUAUAUGGAUGUUUUGUGGCUGCAAAAGAGAGUUUAUUUAAAGGAUUUUAGGAAUUAAAACCCUAGGUUAUUUAGGUAAUCAGAAAUUAAGUCUAAGGCUUCUAGAAAUAGGAAACACAAUCAGAAAAUUAAAGGAAAAGGCAAGGUAUAUGCGGCAAGGGUUUAAAAUAGAUUAGGAAAGUGUUUGAAUGCAUGGAGUUAGGAAACAACCCUCUCCCUUGCACGGCAAGGAAGAGGAAUGGGCAAGGUGUGUGCGGCAAAAGGUGAUAUUAUGCAAGGAAUGUGUGUUUGAUGUCCUAGAGUGCUUAGGAAGCCUUCAAAGUUGAUAACACUUAGGGACACUUAGGAAAGGUCAAACCAAAGUAGGAAACCUUGGCUUAACUUUCCUACUUCAAGUAGGAAUCCUUGUUGGAGUAGGAAUCCUUGUUUUUCUAGGAAUCCUCAUGUGAGUAGGAAUCCUUCGUUGAUUAGGAAACCUAACUUCUUCAAAUCUUCAAUUACAUCCAUUCCUUUUGCUCCAAUCAUGUGAUAAUCAUUCCAAGCUCGAUUUUGCUCCAAAAAGCUCCAAAAUGCAUCUUCUUGCAUCCUUUGGCCUUAGAAUCUGAAACACACAAAAGUGACUUUAAACACUAAAAUAACUAAGGAAACACAACGUAAAUGCACGAGAACAAGCCAAUUAAGUCGCAUAAAUAUGCUCCUAUCAAUAAUUAGAAAGGAGAUGCUACUGGUAGGCUAAGUCGCAUAAAUAUGCUCCUAUCAAUAAUUAGAAAGGAGAUGCUGCUGGUAGGCUGCAAUGCGGGUGAUGGUUUGCCUGCGCUUCUCAUCUGCCAGAUCUAAGCUUAUGGCCAUCUCCUUACUGUUCGGUUGCUCAUCUUUUGGUGGUGCGAUAUGCCCAUAGACAUUCGGGGAGUUCAUCUGGUCAUUUUCCCUUGUUGUUGGUAAGAGAUUUCUUGAGGAAGUUCAAGACCAUCUUAUUCGAUCCUUUAGCCCAUCUAUUGUCUUGAAGAUAUCUUGGGAUGAACAUGUGCUGCUUGACGCCAUAUUUUUGGAAGAGCUUGCUAAAUCUUUGCCCACAAAUUACGGGCCGUUGUCGAUGAUGAUGGAUUGAAGGAUGUCAAAUCGACAAAUGAUGUUCCUCCAUAUGGAGCGCUCUAUGUCCGUCUAUGUCGUGGCCGUCAUGGGCUCUGCUUCUACCCAUUUGGUGAACUAAUCGGUUGCCACGAUUAUCAUGCAUCUACCCUUAGUAGCAGACGACAUAGGUUCUACCAAGUCGAUUGCCUACUGCAUGAACGACCACAAACUCGUCUGUAGGUGUAGUUUGCUGGCAGACAAUGCUAGUACCGGCUUGUAGCGUUGGCAGCGGUUGUACUUUUGUACUAACUCCUUUAGCAUCUUAGUGCAUGGUAGGCUAAUAGUAGCCCACGUAAAAAGCCUUUUGUGCUAAGGAUCGGCCUCCGGAGUGAUUUCCUUAAACACCUUCGUGGAUUGAGCUUAGAACCUUCAAGUUAUCGGGAGGCACUAGGCAAUGGAGAUGUGGUCCAGUGUAGGAUCUUCGGAUGAGAAUGUCGCUCCAUAAGUAGUAGCAUGCUGCCUUGAUUUAGAGUUUCCUAGACUUCAACCUUUCUAGGGGAAGUGUGUCGUUGAUGAGGUAGUCUAUAAUAGAACUUCAGCUGCUGGCUCCACCUCUAUACUUAGCUUGUCUAGAUAUUCCAUAGGGAUAGAACGUUUGAGUUGGUGGUCGAGGGCAGACCUAGGCUGGCUAGUGCGCUCGCGUGGGUGUUGUCUGUCGCAGAACUUGAGUAAAGGUGUAAAUCUGAAAUGCCUCAAGUUUCUUGUGUACCUUCUAUAGGUAUUGUGCCAUCCUUGGAUGUUUUAUCAUGUAUUCCCUAGUCUAGCUAGUAAUUAGCUGGGAAUUGGAAUGAAUUGCAAGCUUCUUCACUGCCAAGUCUUUAGCCAUUCAGAUGCCUGCUAGUAGGGCCGUAUACUCUGUUUUAUUGUUGGAUGAUUUGAAGCAUAGAGUGAUCGCUUGCUCGAGCAUUGAGCCGUCUAGGGUGACAUGGACCACGCCUACUUUUCAGCUUUUAUAGUUAGAUGCACCGUCAACAUACAAAUGCUAAAAGUCUCCAUCAGGUGGAGCAUGUGCGGCUAGAGCGUGCUAGGCUAUCUCCAGGGCGUCGUUGGGCCACUUUGUUGCUUCGCUUAUUCUAGACGUGAAGGCGAGGUAGGGAGCCAUAGAGUUGGGGCUGUGUUAAACGUAGCAAGGGACUCUCAACUACCAAUUUCAAGCCGCUCUAUGGUUGAAUUAUAGAGCAAGGGUCGGCCGGGGCCGUGAGACGUGCAGCCAAAGGUGGUGCUCAACCGCCGAUACAUGUUGCUCAUAUGUAAAAUCUUUUAGGGUGACAAGGACAAAACUUGCUUUUGAGUGUGUCGUUCCAAGGUUCGUCUACCCUUGGUGUGUCUUUUGGGCUGAGUUGUUGCAUUCGUCAGAAAACUUUGUAUCUGCCAGGGUCUACACCUUUAUUGUCAUGUGUCUUGAUUGGGCAGAAUAGUGCAUUAUGAGGAUGAUUGUGUGCAUUUGAAAGCAAAACUUGAGCUUUCGGGUUGCAACAACUAUCGCCAAAGUUAGCUUUUGAAUUUCUGAUAGCAUCGAAGAGAGUUUUUAAACUGUGGAAUACAGGUAGUUGGGCCCCCAGCUAUUCUCAUAUGAUGGUAGAGCUUAUUGCUACUUUAAAUAUUACCAGGUAGAUGUAUAAUCCCAUUUGUGAGAUACUUCUUCAAGUCUUGGAAGGCUUUUUCACAUUCUUCACCCCAUUUGUCUCGUUGUGCCCUCUUGAUAGCUUAGAAAGAAAAACUUGCAUCGAUCGGUGGAUCGCAAAAGGAGACGGUUAAGGGUAGCUGCUCGUCCAGUCAAGCUUUGGAUCUCCUUCAAAGUAGUUGGAGACUUCAUCUCCAAGAUCGCUCAGAUCUGCUUGGGAUGCGCUUCAAUUCCUCGUUGGGUUACUAAGUACCCUAGAAAUUGGCCCGAAGAUACUCCAAAUGUGCAUUUGGUAGGGUUGAGCUUCAUCUUGUACUUUCUAAAGAUGUCGAAAGUUUUCGCCAAGUUGCGAAUAUGCUUUGAUUGCUGCUUGCCCUUUACCAUAAUAUUGUCAACAUAGGCCUCUAAGGUUACCCUAAUUUGUUUCUUGAACAUCAUACUUACUAACCUUUGAUAAAUGGCUCCUAUGUUUUUAGGGCCAAAGGGCAUGACCUUGUAGCAGUAGGUGCCCCGCUCGAUCACGAACGCAGUUUUCUCCUUGUUGGGCUCAUACAUGGCUAUUUGGUUGUAACCGAAAUAUGCGUCUAAGAAGCUAAGCAGCUGGUUCCCAAAAGUUGAAUCUACUAAUAGAUCGAUCUAAGGACAGGAUAAGGAUCUUUUGGGCAUGCUUUGUUGAGGUUGGUGUAGUCUACGCAAACCCUUAAUUUUCUCUUCUCUUUCUUCAUGACUAGUAUGACAUUGGCAAGCCAUGCUGAGUGUGCUACCUCUUCUAUGAAUCCGGCCUCUAAUAGCUUGUCAAUUUCCACCUCAAUGAUCGCUACUCGUUCGAGUGUGAAAUGUCUGCUCAUUUGGAUCACCGGUUUGGCAGUGGGGUCAACGUGCAGCUUGUGGCAGGCCACCUUGGGGUCAAUGUCAGGCAUGUCGGAUGGUGACCAUGUGAAGACAUCUAGGUUUCCUCUAAUGAAAGUCGUGAGUUCUUCUUUCUUGGUUGGGCUUAGUCGUGAGCCAAUUCUAGCCAUCUUUUCCGGCCGAUGAGGAUCAAGAAUGAUGUCUUCGGCGUCCUCUUCGGGUUUCCAUCUUAUCUCGUCUGCUUGGGUGCCAUCUUCUCGAUCCACUUGUUGUAAUUGCUAUUUGGUAGCUUCUUUGUCCUUUUGGACUUCGGUAGCCUUUAUAGGGGUAAAGGUCUUAUUCUUUGAUUCUUUCAACAUUUGCACAGUGCAUUAUCGAGAUGAGGCCUAGUCAGACUUGAUCUCUCCGACUCCUCUUCUCAGGAUGCGGAAUCAGAUUUUUUGACACUUGACGGAAGUGAUAGCAUCCAGGUUGAUCAACCAAGGUCUCAUAAGAAUCCUAUUGUAGGGAGAUGGAUCGGUUUUGAUCAUGAACGUUUGGUUUGAGACGACUGGAAAUGUUUUCACGUCAAGUGUGAUAUGGCCGAUGGCAGUUGAGGUGUGUCCGUUAGUCUGAUAAGUACCUCUGCUCGAUGUAUGAUUGUGCUUUCUAGGCCCAUCUUCUAAAUGACUGGGAGCUGAAGUAGGUUGACUACACUUCCAUUGUCAACCAUCAUCCUGUCAACUAUAGCAUGGGCUAGUUAGACAGAUACUACUAGCGCAUCGUCGUGUGGGAAAUCGACGACUUCUGCAUCUAACUUAGUGAAGCUAAUAAUGGGUCCAAGUUGGGUAUCGACUGUUGGGACUUGUGAGAUUAGUAAAGCCUACUGGAUCUUCCUUUUUGAAGUUAUUAGUGGCCCCCAAGUGCUCAGAUUUGGGGAAAAUGCCACUGAUUCGAAUCAUCUUGGUUGGCAGCUCCUCAUCAUUAUCUGUAUUCCUUUUUGGCUGCGCAUCUGGCUUGUCCAAGUAUUUAUCAACUUUGCCUUCACGAGCUUAUCUAGGAAGUUCUUCCAAGUGUAGCAGUCGUCAGUUGUGAGACCAGGACCUUGGUGGAAUGCGCAAUACUUGGUAUGGUCCAACUUGGAAGUAUCUUCUUUUGAUUGUUUUGGCAGCUUGAACCAUGGCUCGUUCUUGAUAUCACAAAGGAUUUGAUGAAUCAGAAUUGAGAACUUAGAAUAGUUUUUUGUUAUCGAGCCUUGUUUAGUUGUGUGUCGGUCCUUGCGCUUGGCCUCUUGCCUGCUCUUGCUGGGCUGCUUCCCGUCUUCCUUCCUUUGGGUCACCGCUGACUAUUUUCGAGGCUGCUCAGGCGCCUUUUCUGCUCAUUGAGCCUUGUCCCAAAGUGCAUGCUUCUCUACCAGGGCAAAGGAAUCUGCUAGAGUUGAAGGGAAAAUUAUGAGUUUAACACAUGGGAUUUCGAAAUGACUAGCAUGCAUAUACAAUUCAAAAUUUAUAUACAUGAGCAACGGAAGCAAUUUAUCAAAUAAUAUCAAAGAAAUAGUCAUGCAAAUCCCCUUCAAGGUUCAUAGGUUUAUAUAUAAUGCAUCUAAAACAUUCAAGUAAAGAACUAAGUGAAAGUAUAGAUCUAUACCUCCUGAUCUUGAUUUUAGACCAAGGAUGGACCACCUCCAAGUCCUUUGCUCCUUAAAGUCCUUGAGCCUAGCCUCCCUCCUUGCCUCCUCCACUUUGUUAGUAAGAGUGCUCCAAGGUUCUCCUUUAGUCUCCAAAGGAGAAGACCUCUAAAUAUCCACACCCACUAGUGUAGUGAGAUGGAUGGAGGAAUAGCCAAAAGGGUGAAAGAUUGUUAGUAAAAUCACCCCCAAGGUGGCCGGCCCUUGUAGUGUUUUAGAGAGAUAUUUCUUUUGCCUCUUUGUUGUUUUAAACACACAAAAACCCUAAGGAAUAAAUCUCUAUAAAGUUCCUUAUAUAGACAAAAAGAAACCUAGUCAACAACUUGACUAAAUAUCUCUCCCUUUCCACUUAAAGUGGCCGACCUCUUUGUGUUGGAUUUGGGCUUUGGGCUUUUAUAUAUUUCAAGUCAUCCAAUGCUUGAAUAAAAGCCUAAUGGGUUUAGGCCCAAUGGGCCCAAUUAAACCCGAACGUUUCUAUAAGCCCAAAACGAUCUUUUAUCGCUUUUAUAAUUUCUUUAGACUUUCUAAAUUAAUCACAACACUUAAUUAAUCCAAUUAAUUAUUUCCUUCAUCCAGUAAUUACUCACUACAAUAGUGUAUCGGUGUACAAUCAUUUUAGGUUCUAAUUAGCAAGGCAGUGAGGUGAUUGGCAUCAAUCCAAUUGAUUAUAUUUAAUUCAAUCACUUAGUGAAUUAAAACUUCCUUUUAAUUCACCUUCUUCUUUGAUGACUACAUUUAAUCAUCUAGAAGAACUCACAAGCUAUGAGUGACAUCUAACCAUAUGUCAUAGCUACCCAAGCUAAUGUAGAAGUUGUUCGGAGAACCUAUUCAGUUGGAAUUACAAUGUAAUUCGAUCCUUCUCUAAAACAAUACUCUCAACCACAUUACUAGGGUAUGGAUAUAUUAUGUCAAACCCCUAAUGUGAUUAUUCCUUCUUAUAUGAUUCAAUUGAGUCGUAUAGGAACGCUUUCCUUUAUUACGCUCGAUACUUCGGCCGAAUCAUAUCUUAGAGUAUUCUUCCUCUCUUAUCGAAGAUUAGAGAUCCCUUGUUGCGCAUUCACUUGCCUUCAUGACUAAGUGGCUUAACCCCAAUUAUGCCGUGGACACCCGCGAAUGGGAUGACUUUGACAUAAUCAAAGAUUAAGUACUUAGCCACAAGACAACGAUGAUGCCUCAGGUCAAAGGACUACUUACAUUAUUCCAACCAUUAAAGUUACUUGCUUGACAUGUGAGUAGACCUCCAUGCAAGUACUCUCGUUCGAUUGUGUUCAGUGAACUCAUUCCCUUAAUGAGCACCUACAUACUUGUCUUAGUGUCACAACACGAAUGGGAUGAGACUUUCCAUCCUUCCAUUUGAAGCAGACAUAGUAUGUACCGGUCUAAGCAUUGUCAGUAUCCCUCCGACAAUCCAAUGACUAGGAACCUUUUGGACAUAAUGGUUAUGUGAAGAAGGUCUCUGUAGUCUAACAUCAUUAGAUUACUUCUUCAAUCGAUCCAUUGUCCAUGGAUUCACUAUUUAGGACAUAUAUCGUUUAUUGAGAUAGUCUUAAUUAGUAUCUUUGCCAUUUGAUGUAUAAGAGUCAUCUAUACAUCGAUUCAUUUAUCCUGAAAGGUUUCUUCCAAAGAUUGACUUUCAGGGCAUAUUUCCAACAAUCUCCCACUUGCACUAAAGUGAAUCACUAGUGUAUCUUAUACAUGCUAGUUGAGAGAGCUUAUGCUCGUAGGUUAACUCGGUUAUGUAUUAAUCCCUUUUAUUAUUUAAAAGGGAUUUACUUAUCAAAUGUUUCCAAAACAUUUGAUGAUGUCUCUUUCUUGUGUUCGAAUACUUUGAUGAGACCUUGAUUCCAUGGCUUGAGCUAUCGCCCCAUUACGUCGUAGUAUCCUACUAACGACCUUAUGGUUUGGAUUCAAUCAUUGGUUCUAUAAGAACCCCUUCAUUCAAAACACCUUUUGAAGCAGUUUCUAAAACAAUAUAUCGUCAUAUAUUUCGUUUGUAUACUUUAUACAAACUUUGCUCCAACCUUGAGACCAUUGUAGUACAAUACUAACAAUACAUUCAUAUGAUUAGUACUUCAUCCAUUAUGAAGUUCCAUUUGUUAAAAUGGCUUAUUUUUUUACUUUGGUUAACAACCUAAGUGAAUGCACGCUUCCAGAGUCCCACUCUGAUGUUUCUUUCUCUAAAGGCAAUAAUACUCUUUCAGUUGCUUUGGUUCUGAUCCUGGGAUUUAGUAAUAUCUUAUAGUGACAACCCCUGUGGUUCUUCACUUUUGGAUAUCUACUUCACAAGUCCAUACAUGUGUCCCUUUUGUGAUUUUAUGACACAUUCAUUAUAAGGGUAUGAAAGUGAUUUCCUAUUACGUAGGAAAAUGCUUCCUUAAAUCUACAACAUUUGAGAUUUAAUUCCCAUAUAACAUUAUUGAGAUAGCCUUGCUAUAUCAAUAAGUCCAAUUUCAAGUCUAUACUUCAAAAUUGACCGUGUCAUGUUUUGUCAUUUUUGAGUAACAUCUAUGUUUUAUCAAGUCUAUCAAAUAGACUUUAUUCACAUCUUGUUGCUCAAAUUAUGAUAUCACUCCCACUGGCCUUGUUUGUAACUUAGCAUUCAUUCAAAAAUUAACAAUUAUAUUUUCUUGAUUUGAAUGCAUAUUGCUCCCUUUAACUUGUCUUGGAUCUAUUGACAAUCAUUAAGAUCCAUUAGCUUAUUGAUGAUGUCUCAACUAUUUUGAGACUAUCAACAACUCUAGUUAACACAGUUAUUUAAACGAAUCAUACACAAAAGAAUUCCUUCUCAAGUAAUUCCAUGAAAUGUGUGACUUGCUUUAUCAAGUCUAUUCAUUUAAAUUAUAUGGUGUCAUACACCAUACUUUAAGUUUGAGUCAUACUAAGACCUUUAAUGUAGUCAUAUAAGAAUUAUCCAAGUCUUUAGUGGAAGCAUGGCUCCUACUAAGGAUAUAGAAACUCAACCAUUCCUUCUAGGUGGUUGAUAUAAUUCUUUAUUAAAACUACAUAGAGCAAUAUUGUUACAUGAGAUGUUGAAUUUGGAUUGUCUUGUUGUUAAAUCAUAUGUUGUGACUCAUUUUGAACUUAUUUCCCUUUUUGUUUCAUCAACUUGUCCAUAUGCUUAGUUACUUAGCUUGUUCUCAUAAAAGAGAAUGAUGGACAACUCCCAACAUAUAACUAUUUUAUGCUAGGUUGACGAAACCAACAUUUAAAGACUAUUCUUUAGAAUGUCACACAACAUAGAAUUUUAACGUUUGAAGAGCUUGAGUUCUUUAACAAUUAAAAUUACAAACUCUUAAUAAUAGUCAAGUACUAUUAUACUUUAGACAACUAUAAACCAAUCACAAUCAAGUUUAUAUCCAUUUUCACACCUCCCACUAUUUCUCAUGACUUUAAUGAGAAAUCAUUUCAUACAUUCAAAAUGUAUAAAAGUGGAGUACAUUGGUAGAAGACAUUGUGUAGUAGCUUUAAAACAUUUCAAGCUUAUUUGUUUCAAUCUUCACUAAGUUAAUGUCUUGUUAUUAAGUGACUAAAGUCUUUAAACAUUUUAUAGAUUUAGACACUUCUUUCUUGGUUUAAUCACUAACACAAUUGACAUUUUAAAACCUUUUAAAGAAUGCCCAAUUAUUUGUUCAAAACUACUAAUUGAAUCAAGAGUGAUCUUGAUCAUUGUGUUUCAAGUUAUGACCAUAUAAGAAACGUUUUUCUUAUUACUCACAUCAUUAUAAUGUGAUCUUCCUUUUCUUCAAGAAAGGAUACUCUAGACUUUUGUCAAUUCAUAUAGAACUCAUAGGUAGACAAAUGGAACCAAAUCUAAAGAUUCAUUGUAUCCUUUUAUGUCCUACAUGUGAGAUCUAUCCAUAAUUGAUAAAUCUAAAGUUUGGUUAUCACAUUACAAUAAGUGAUAUAACUCUUGUAUCUCAUCUAGGAUACAACAAGACAAUUUUCAAUUCAUAACACUACUUUAAGGAAAUAGUAUAUUAAAAGGCAUUCUUCACAUUACAUUAAUAUGAUAAUUCAAACAUUCAUAAUGUUUAAUACAAAAAGUAUUAGCUCUAUACAUUUAGAGACUAAUUUAAAUACCUUUAUACAUUUAGGCACUAAUAGUGAUCUUCCAUCAUAUGAAGCCACAUAAUAAGUUCUUAACAAAAUAAGAAAGUUUAAAGACUAUCUUUAAUGCCUAACAAACUUCCUAAGUAGUAAGCAAAAAAACAUAGUGGCCGAACCCUUCACCACAUUUUCCUCGCUUGUUCAUCUUCUACUUGGCUUCUCCACCUAUAUACAAUUAUACAAGUGAUUAGCUCUUUAUAUCAAAUAUAAAUAUUUAGAAGAUCUAACAUUUAGAAUUGAAGAUAAGAACAUAAACCAUACCUUGUGGCUUGUCCUUAAGACUUGCAAGGUAUAACCUGCAAUUUCUCCUCCAAUGCCCCUCCUUUCCACAGUGGUGGCAAGUCCCUUUGGGCUCCUUUGCCUUCUUUUUCCUCACUCCUCCUUUCGGCUUAGGAGUGGGUGGCUUCUUCUCCUUCCCUUUGCCUUAGCCUUGCGGCUUGGCCUUGGAAGAGGAUGGCUUGUUGUAGACUACUGCAGAAGUCCCUACAACGUUCUCUUUCUUCAUAGUCUUCUCGGCAGUUACUAACAUAUUUAGUAACUCAGAGGGAGUACUAUCCAUCUUAUUCAUAUUGUAGUUCAUUACGAACUGCGCGAAUGAAUCAGAAAGAGAAGCUAAUACGAAGUCCUGGGCCAAUUCCCUGUGAAGUGGAGUACCAAGGUUCUCCAAUUGUUCAAUGAAUCCUAUCAUCUUCAGUACAUGUUGAUGCACUGGAGCCCCCUUGACCAUCUUGGUCUUCACAAGUUCACAAACAGUGUUAAAGCGACAGUUGCGCGUCCCUUCACCAUAUAACUCCGUAAGAUGGAGUAUUAUGGAAGAUGCACUGUCCAUGCCCUCGUGCUGUCUCUGUAGCUCCUCAUUCAUGGAAGCCAAUAGAUAACACUUGGCUUAUGUGUCAUCCUCAACGUGCUUGUCAAACUUAGCACGUUCAUCCUCAGUAGCCUCAGGGCCGAAAGGUAUGUGAGGUGGAGCCUUGUCUAGUACGUAAACAAUCUUCUCCAAUGUUAGGAGAAUCUUAACAUUACGAUACCAUGAUGGGAAAUUGUGCCCCUCUAGGCAAUGUUUGUCGAGUAUUUUCGCGAGUGUGCUUCCAACCAUAUCUAAACACAUCAACAAUAAAAUAAUUAGUUUGAUUGUUGAUUAAGUCAAACGAUUCGGGUCUUUAAACCGAAUGACACCACCCACCAUUUUUGGCAAAUUCCAUAUCCCUCAAGAUGGAAUCCGGGAGAUUUCAAAGAAAGCUCCUAGCGGGUUAUGGGAUGCUCACUAUUACCAAGCCCACCUCACGAUGAUACGAUGUUGGCUAGCAAAAAUAAUAAUGAGAGGGUACAAUUACCCAUUCACAACAACCUCUUGUGAUUACCCAUCUUUUUGGCCUCUAGAGAGCAAUGCCUCACGAUGAUACGAUGUUGGCAUCAUUUCUCUUAGUUAAGUUCUUUCCCACCAUGCCGGUUUAGAUAGGGGUUCAAUCAUGACCUCACGAUGAUACGAUGUCGGCCACACUCGUUGCCUACCUUAACCUCAUCAAAUGUUUUAAAUAAACUCCUCCUGAGUAUAAGCAUGCACUUUGCACUCCCCCAUGAUAGCGUGAAGGCGAUGUACAAGUCAUAAACGAUUGGAGCCUACCAUGGUGGAAGGCCAUGAAAAAGUGUUCAAAGCACUCUUACGCUUACAACUUAAUAUUGUUUGUUGGUUGAGGGAUUUUAAGGUCUCAUCAUUUUUAUUCAUUUAAUCACAUUCAAAUAAAUAAUGUCCUAUUACAACUACUAGUCCAAAGUUAAUGAAAUUAGUAGCAUAUGAUAUCCCCACUAUUCGUUUUCAUAAAACAAAUCAAUAUCAAAACAUUUAUCAAAAUAUUGGAGAUAUAUAUAACUACUAAUUGUAUUCAUUAUAGUUUAGUAGCGUUUGAUACUCCCACUAUUUGUUUUAAGAAAAACAAAUCAAUAUCAAAAACGAAUUUUUCAAAUAUUGGAAGUAACUACUACUACUAAGGUUUUUGCAUUCCUUUGAAAUUGGACUUUAUAGUUAUUUUAGGCUCUUGGAUGACCAUGGACUUAUUAGGUUAUUGCAACAACGAGCCAACAUUGUUGAAUAUAAACUCGGGGAGGUUGUGUCAAUUUAAUUACGUGCUUAUCAAUCCAAUUAAAACAAUUUCAUUGAGCCAUUAGAAAUGAAAGACAAUCAAUCAUUGCUAAUUAGGGCAUUGGACCCAUUUAAUCUUUAAUCUCAUGUCAAAACCCUCUUUUAGUUAUGUCUUCUUACCAAUAGUUAAAGAAACUCUAGUCUAGCACUAGAGGGAAUCAACUACCAAAUAGAGAUUAAGAAGUAAUAAGAAUUACAAACCGAUUUGUACAAAUUCCUAUAAAUUACAUAUACUAAAAGGGGAGAGAUAGAUUAAUGUCAAGCGUGACAAGGUCCAAUUAAACAGUAAUUAAAACACAUUCCCAAGGUUCAAACAAUUUGAUUUUAGCGCCUUAUCUCAUAGCUCAAUUAUAGUUUCAGGCAUAAGUCCAUAGUCACCAUUUUCUAACUACUUAAUCACAUUUAAAUAAUCAAAAUGGAAUGCAACAUGAACAUUUAGAUUUAGUGCAUAUGGGCAUAAUAGUGUUAUGAGUUUAAACAACUAACAAAAUUAAAAUCAAAUAUUUUAACUUUCUAGUUAGUAGGGGCUUAAAUGCAAAUAUGGAAAAGUUAGGGGUCAAACCGUAAAUACUUGAAAGUAUAAUAUCAACUUUUCAAAGAUUACAAAAUAGCCCCACAAGUGGAUAAAUCCACUAGGGAGGCCGGCCACAUUAAGGGGAUGGGAGGUCUCUUGCACAUUCUUACACAACAUGCAUUAAAUUCCACAUUAUGUAGAAAAAAUUAAAUUUUGCUUGUCACUUGGUUUUGCUUCAAAGACUUUAGUGAAAAGGGUUGAUGGAAAUCUCCUAGUCAAGUCUAGGAUUUAAUAAAUUUAUGAUAUGGUUAUGGAUGGUAUGAACAUCAUCCAAAACCACAAAACAAUGCAUGAAAACCAAACAAAACCAUUUUCACCAAAAACCAAACCAUGAACACCAAGAACAUAACCAUGAACUUAUUUUCAAGAUUUGUAUAUUCUUGGUGAUUUUUCAAACCCAAAAACAAAAGUGACAAGAACUCUUCUUUCAAGCUUUAAAAGGAUGUGAGAGUGGUUUACAAUAAUCACAAACACAACCCAAAACCACCCCCAAAACCGUGCCCUCCCUUUGGUUCAAAACCCCAAAUUUUGUUCAUGACUUAUUCUUCAUUCAUGCAUACAAAACAACUUUUACAUGCAUAUCUUUUUCAACUCUUGAUUUAUAUUUUUCAACCAUUGAAAAACAAAAGAUAAACAUACUUAAAUGAAGAAAUAAUAUGUCAAAUUAGUUCAAAACUCAAUUUUCAUUCAUGCAUACAAAACAACUUUUGCAUACAUAUCUUUCUCAACUAUUGACUAACAUUUUUCAACUAUUGAAAAAAAAAAGAUAAACAUAUAUUGAAUGAAGCAAUAAUCAUGUCAUACAUAAUAUUAAUACCCAUAUGCAUAAAAUCCAAAAGGACACAUUAUACAUAAACCUUUGGCUCUGAUACCACUUGAAGGGGAAAUUAUGAGUUUAACACAUGAGAUUUCUAAAUGACUGCAUGCAUAUACAAAUCAAAAUUUAUAUACAUGAGCAACGGAAGCAAUUUAUCAAAUAAUAUCAAAGCUAUAGUCAUGAAAAUCCCCUUCAAGGUUCAUAGGUUUAUAUAUAAUGCAUCUAAAACAUUUAACUUAAGAACAAAGUCAAGGAAUAGAUCUAUACCUCUUGAUCUUGAUUUUAGACCAAGGAUGGACCACCUCCAAGCCCUUUGCUCCUUGAAGUCCUUGAGCCUAGCCUCCCUCCUUGCCUCCUCCAUUUUGAAUGUAAGAGUGCUCCAAGGUUCUCCUUAAGUCUCCAAAGGAGAAGACCUCAAAAGAUCCACACCUACUAGUGUAGUGAGAUGGAUGGUGGAAUAACCAAAAGGGUGAAAGAUUGUUAGUUAAAUCACCCCCAAGGUGGCCGGCCUUUGUAAUGUUUUUAGAGAUAUUUCUUUUGCCUCUUUGUUUUUUUAAACACACAAAAACCCUAAGGAUUAAUUUCUAUAAAGUUCCUUAUAUAGACAAAAAGAAACCUAGUCAACAACUUGACUAAAUAUCUCUCCCUUUCCACUUAAAGUGGCCGGCCUCUUUGUGUUGGAUUUGGGCUUUGGGCUUUUAUAUAUUUCAAGUCAUCCAAUGCUUGAAUAAAAGCCCAAUGAGUUUAGGCCCAAUGGGCCCAAUUAAACCCGAACGUUUCUAUAAGCCCAAAACGAUCUUUUAUCGCUUUUAUGAUUUCUUUAGACUUUCUAAAUUAAUCACAACACUUAAUUAAUCCAAUUAAUUAUUUCCUCCAUCCAGUAAUUACUCACUACAAUAGUGUAUCGGUGUACAAUCAUUUUAGGUUCUAAUUAGCAAGGCAGUGAGGUGAUUGGCAUCAAUCCAAUUGAUUAUAUUUAAUUCAAUCACUUAGUGAAUUAAAACUUCUUUUUAAUUCACCUUCUUCUUUGAUGACUACAUUUAAUCAUCUAGAAGAACUCACAAGCUAUGAGUGACAUCUAACCAUAUGUCAUAGCUACCCAAGCUAAUGUAGAAGCUGUUCGGAGAACCUAUUCAGUUAGAAUUACAAUGUAAUUCGAUCAUUCUCUAAAACAAUACUCUCAACCACAUUACUAGGGUAUGGAUAUAUUAUGUCAAACCCCUAAUGUGAUUAUUCCUUCUUAUAUGAUUCAAUUGAGUCGUAUAGGAACACUUUCCUUUAUUACGCUCGAUACUUCGGCCGAAGAUUCCCGAAUCAUAUCUUAGAGUAUUCUUCCUCUCUUAUCGAAGAUUAGAGAUCCCUUGUUGCGCAUUCACUUGCCUUCAUGACUAAGUGGCUUAACCCCAAUUAUGCCGUGGACACCUGCGAAUGGGAUGACUUUGACAUAAACAAAGAUUAAGUACUUAGCCACAAGACAACGACGAUGCCUCAGGUCAAAGGACUAUUUACCAAGCCCACCUCACGAUGAUACGAUGUUGGCUAGCAAAAAUAAUAAUGAGAGGGUACAAUUACCCAUUCACAACAACCUCUUGUGAUUACCCAUCUUUUUGGCCUCUAGAGAGCAAUGCCUCACGAUGAUACGAUGUUGGCAUCAUUUCUCUUAGUUAAGUUCUAUCCCACCAUGCCGGUUUAGAUAGGGGUUCAAGCAUGACCUCAUGAUGAUACGAUGUUGGCCACACUCGUUGCCUACCUUAACCUCAUCAAAUGUUUUAAAUAAACUCCUCCUGAAUAUAAGCAUGCACUUUGCACUCCCCCAUGAUAGGGUGAAGGCGAUGUACAAGUCAUAAACGAUUGGAGCCUACCACGGUGGAAGGCCACGAAAAAGUGUUCAAAGCACUCUUACGCUUUCAACUUAAUAUUGUAUGUUGGUUGAGGGAUUUUAAGGUCUCAUCAAUUUUAUUUAUUUAAUCAUAUUCAAAUAAAUAAUGUCCUAUUUACAACUACUAGUCCAAAGUUAAUGAAAUUAGUAGCAUAUGAUAUCUCCACUAUUCGUUUUCAUAAAACAAAUCAAUAUCAAAACAUUUUUCAAAAUAUUGGAGAUAUAUAUAACUACUAAUUGUAUUCAUUAUAGUUUAGUAGCGUUUGAUACUCCCACUAUUUGUUUUAAGAAAAACAAAUCAAUAUCAAAAACGAAUUUUUCAAAUAUUGGAAGUAACUACUACUACUAAGGUUUUUGCAUUCCUUUGAAAUUGGACUUUAUAGUUAUUUUAGGCUCUUGGAUGACCAUGGACUUAUUAGGUUAUUGCAACAACGAGCCAACAUUGUUGAAUAUAAACUCGGGGAGGUUGUGUCAAUUUAAUUACGUGCUUAUCAAUCCAAUUAAAACAAUUUCAUUGAGCCAUUAGAAAUGAAAGACAAUCAAUCAUUGCUAAUUAGGGCAUUGGACCCAUUUAAUCUUUAAUCUCAUGUCAAAACCCUCUUUUUAUGUCUUCUUACCAAUAGUUAAAGAAACUCUAGUCUAGCACUAGAGGGAAUCAACUACCAAAUAGAGAUUAAGAAGUAAUAAGAAUUACAAACCGAUUUGUACAAAUUCCUACAAAUUACACAUACUAAGAGGGAGAGAUAGAUUAAUGUCAAAUGUGACAAGGUCCAAUAAAAACAGUAAAUAAAACACAUUCCCAAGGUUCAAACAAUUUGAUUUUAGCGCAUUAUCUUAUAGCUCAAUUAUCGUUUUAAGGCAUAAGUCCAUAGUCACACUUGUUUCUAACUAUUUAAUCAUAUCAAAUAAUCAAAUGGAAUGCAACAUAAACAAUUAGAUUUAGUGCAUAUGGGCAUAAUAGUAUUAUGAGUUUAAACAACUAACAAAAUUAAAAUCAAAUAUUUUAACUUUCUAAUUAGUAGGGGUCUAAAUGCAAAUAUGAAAAAGUUAGGGGUCAAACCGUAAAUACUCAAAAGUAUAAAAUAUCUUUUUCCAAAUUACAAAAAGCCUCACAAGUGGAUAAAUCCACUAGGGUGGCCGGCCACAUUAAGGGGUGAUGGGAAGUCUCACCCAUCUUGCUUUAAUUCAAUGCAAGGUAGAAAAAUCCAAAUUUGCAUGUCACUUGGUUUUGGCUUAAAAGGCUUUAAUGAAAAAAAGGUGAUGGAAAUCUCCUAGACAAGUCUAGGGUUUUAAAAGUUUUAAUAUGGUUAUGGAUGGUAAGAACAUCAUCCAAAACCAUAAAACUAUGCAUGAAAACCAAAUAAAACCAUUUUCACCCAAAACCAAACUAUGAACACCAAGAACAAAACCAUGAACACUUUUUCAAGAUUUGUGUAUUCUUGGUGAUUUUUCAAACCCAAAAACUAAAGUGACAAGGUUUCUACUUUCUAGCUUUAAAAUGAUGUGUGAGUGUAUUACAAUAAAACACAAACACAUGCCCAAAAAUUCCCCAAAACCGUGCCAACCACAAAGAACAAAACCCCAAAUUUUUGUUCAUGACUUAUUCUUCAUUCAUGCAUACAAAACAACUUUUACAUGCAUAUCUUUUUCAACUAUUGAUUUAUAUAUUUUUCAACCAUUGAAAAAACAAAAGAUAAACAUACUUUGAAUGAAGAAAUAAUAUGUCAAACUAGUUCUAAACUCAUUUUUCAUUCAUGCAUACAAAACAACUUUUGCAUACAUAUCUUUCUCAACUAUUGACUAACAUUUUUCAACUAUUGAAAAACAAAAGAUAAACAUAUUUUGAAUGAAGCAAUAAUUAUGUCAUACAUAAUAUUAAUACCCAUAUGCAUAAAAUCCAAAAGGACACAUUAUACAUAAACCUUUGGCUCUGAUACCACUUGAAGGGAAAAUUAUGAGUUUAACACAUGGGAUUUCGAAAUGACUAGCAUGCAUAUACAAUUCAAAAUUUAUAUACAUGAGCAACGGAAGCAAUUAUCAAAUAAUAUCAAAGCAAUAGUCAUGCAAAUCCCCUUCAAGGUUCAUAGGUUUAUAUAUAAUGCAUCUAAAACAUUCAAGUAAACAACUAAGUGAAAGUAUAGAUCUAUACCUCUUGAUCUUGAUUUUAGACCAAGGAUGGACCACCUCCAAGUCCUUUGCUCCUUGAAGUCCUUGAGCCUAGCCUCCCUCCUUGCCUCCUCCACUUUGUUAGUAAGAGUGCUCCAAGGUUCUCCUUUAGUCUCCAAAGGAGAAGACCUCUAAAUAUCCACACCCACUAGUGUAGUGAGAUGGAUGGAGGAAUAACCAAAAGGGUGAAAGAUUGUUAGUAAAAUCACCCCCAAGGUGGCCGGCCUUUGUAGUGUUUUAGAGAGAUAUUUCUUUUGCCUCUUUGUUGUUUUAAACACACAAAAACCCUAAGGAAUAAAUCUCUAUAAAGUUCCUUAUAUAGACAAAAAGAAACCUAGUCAACAACUUGACUAAAUAUCUCUCCCUUUCCACUUAAAGUGGCCAGCCUCUUUGUGUUGGAUUUGGGCUUUGGGCUUUUAUAUAUUUCAAGUCAUCCAAUGCUUGAAUAAAAGCCCAAUGGGUUUAGGCCCAAUGGGCCCAAUUAACCCGAACGUUUCUAUAAGCCCAAAACGAUCUUUUAUCGCUUUUAUGAUUUCUUUAGACUUUCUAAAUUAAUCACAACACUUAAUUAAUCCAAUUAAUUAUUUCCUCCAUCCAGUAAUUACUCACUACAAUAGUGUAUCGGUGUACAAUCAUUUUAGGUUCUAAUUAGCAAGGCAGUGAGGUGAUUGGCAUCAAUCCAAUUGAUUAUAUUUAAUUCAAUCACUUAGUGAAUUAAAAAUUCCUUUUAAUUCACCUUCUUCUUUGAUGACUACAUUUAAUCAUCUAGAAGAACUCACAAGCUAUGAGUGACAUCUAACCAUAUGUCAUAGCUACCCAAGCUAAUGUAGAAGUUGUUCGGAGAACCUAUUCAGUUGGAAUUACAAUGUAAUUCGAUCCAUCUCUAAAACAAUACUCUCAACCACAUUACUAGGGUAUGGAUAUAUUAUGUCAAACCCCUAAUGUGAUUAUUCCUUCUUAUAUGAUUCAAUUGAGUCGUAUAGGAACGCUUUCCUUUAUUACGCUCGAUACUUCGGCCGAAGAUUCCCGAAUCAUAUCUUAGAGUAUUCUUCCUCUCUUAUCGAAGAUUAGAGAUCCCUUGUUGCGCAUUCACUUGCCUUCAUGACUAAGUGGCUUAACCCCAAUUAUGCCGUGGACACACGCGAAUGGGAUGACUUUGAUAUAAUCAAAGAUUAAGUACUUAGCCACAAGACAACGACGAUGCCUCAGGUCAAAGGACUACUUACAUUAUUCCAACCAUUAGAGUUACUUGCUUGACAUGUGAGUAGACCUCCAUGCAAGUACUCUCGUUCGAUUGUGUUCAGUGAACUCAUUCCCUUAAUGAGCACCUACAUACUUGUCUUAGUGUCACAACACGAAUGGGAUGAGACUUUCCAUCCUUCCAUUUGAAGCAGACACAGUAUGUACCAGUCUAAGCAUUGUCAGUAUCCCUCCGACAAUCCAAUGAUUAGGAACCUUUUGGACAUAAUGGUUAUGUGAAGAAGGUCUCUGUAGUCUAACAUCAUUAGAUUACUUCUUCAAUCGAUCCAUUGUCCAUGGAUUCACUAUUUAGGACAUAUAUCGUUUAUUGAGAUAGUCUUAAUUAGUAUCUUUGCCAUUUGAUGUAUAAGAGUCAUCUAUACAUCGAUUCAUUUGUCCUGAAAGGUUUCUUCCAAAGAUUGUCUUUCAGGGCAUAUUUCCAACAAGAGUUAGGUAUUCAUUCAUGAUCAUUUCUCCAAAUAGUGGGUGGUCUGCUGGGAGUCCUUUUUGGAAGGCUGCACUUGCUAUCGAGUGAUCGCAUCUGACGAUCUUCGCCUUCUCUACUUUGAAUCUCUUCACGUAGUGGCAGAGUGACUCCUUUGGGUUUUUCUUUACGUUGAACAAGUGAUCGGACUUUUUCUUGAUCGAGCAGUAAGAUAAGUAUUCUUUGGUGAAAGCCAAGGAAAGAUCAUCAAAAUUCUGGAUAGAUCGUGGUGGCAAGGUGUGAAACCAAUCUUGUGCCUCGCCUUGUAGAAUGGUGGUGAAUAUUUUGCACAUAAGGGUGUCAUUGUUCCAGUAAGGACCAUCGCGUUUUGGUAAUGCUUCAAGUGCCUCUCUGGAUCUCCAUUUACUUUGAAAGAUGUGAAGUGCGGCAUGCUAAACUUGUAUGGAAGCUUUACCUGCUUAAUCUCACCCGUGAAAGGUGACCUACUUAUGUUGGUUAUAUCCUGCCUUAGUGCGUCAUCAUCCAUUUUGUUGCGUCGGAAAUCACGCAUCCGUUUAUUGAAAAGUCUUUCUGCCUCUGCUUGGAUUUGCCUUUGUUGGGGUAGCGGAGCUCUUGGCUGCCCUUGGUCUUGACCUGCUGUUCUAGGCUGCUCUUUUACACGCUCGACUUAUUUAUGUCAUGGCUGCGGUAUAUGAGAUAGGCUCCUAGCAGGUGAGGGGUUUCUUCGCAAGCUACUGGUUGAACUUAAACCAAAUUAAGUGAUUGCUUCUCUCCAUACGCAAUGCUUCCUGCUCCGAUGUAAUGUGGCUAAUGCUCAUUGCGGGCCUAACUGCGAAUGAAUGUUUUGCCUAGAAGGCUACUCAUGUUGAUUAUCGGAGCAUGGCCCCAACCGUGAAUGUAUACUUGUCCGUGGGCCUAGUCGAGAGUGCACGCUCCUCUGCGCACUAAGACAGGAAUAUACGCUGUCUCGGGGGCCCAAUCGAGAGUGUACAUUGCCCGAAUGCUUAUACGUUGUCUCGGGGGCCCAAUCGGAAGUGUACACUACCCGAAUGCUUGAUUUGUGGUUGGUUGAGUAGCUACAUGACAGGACGCUGGUUGAGAGGUUCCUCCUCUGCCCUUGUCCUACUUCGGGACACUUCAUCUAGGGCACGUUGGAUCUCGGUGCAUUGUAAAAGUUGAUUUACCAAGGUCGUUUGUCGUGCUAGGGUGCUCGUCAACUCUAUGAAUUGUCGGGAUAAGUGUUGUUCAUCAUUCGGAUUGGAAGAGCUUGGAUGGAAUGUGCCUCCUUGAGUAGUAGAAGAAUGGUAGGCCCUGGGAACGAGAUUUGAGUUGGGAAAUGUCAAAUUCGUGGAAAAAUGUGGUGAAAAUGCCCCCGGCUAGAUGAUUGGUCGAGAUGGUCUUGGGCCGACUUGGGCUACUUGGUGGGAACAAGCUGGGCCAUGAGAGUGAGCUGCUCGGUGCGUGAUGUAUGCGAGAGUGAGGCUUGGGUCGUGGCCUUAGUGCUGUAAGCCUCCUUGGAUAGCACGGCUCGGGCCAUGGUGAAAGCACCAUGGACCUCGCCACGUGUGGCUACUGAGGUAGCCACCGCGGUGGUUCUCGUGGUGGAAACUCGUAGUGGUGGUGCCGCUCCACUUAUUGUCGCAUUUAGCCUCAUGGAUCGUUGUGGUCCCAUUCCUUGGAUAUUGGAAUUUUCACUCAUGGAAUUUUCUAAAUUUCUAGCCAUUGUAUUCUUCUUUUACGUUUUAUCAAAGAAUCUUUGCAAAUAAAAAAUUCUAAUAAUAAAAACGUACGAAAAAAUACAAGUGGACUAGAAAAUAGAGAAAAACCUUUUUUUUGCGAGAGUCUUCUACGAGUGUGGAUUUCUUUUCUCAAUGAAAGCACCAAUUUGUGGAUGCAAAUUUCCACCUUCUUCUUCUUGGACAAAAUUUCACCUAUAGAACAAAUAACACCUUAGGUCAAGGCCAAGAGCCUCAUGUGCCCAUGAUGAACGGGGUUUUGGCCGAAGAACCUCCGAUGCCAAAGUUAGAAUUUUGAGGGAAAAGUGUUUAGAGAGUUUUUGGAAUUUUGCAAGAGAAUGAGAAAUCAUUUUUGGGAGAGAAUGGUGAGCUAUAUAUAGGGAUAUGGCCGGCCCUAUUAGGAGAAUAGGGACUGGGCAUUUAGGUAUUUUUUAGGUGUAAAUUGUGGUUAAUUAGCCAUUAAUAGAUUAAUUAGGUAAUAAAUCUAUUAAUUGACUAAUUAACAUAUUUUGAAAUAAAUUAUUUGGGGAGUUAUGGAAUGAUUAAGAUAAUUAGCUAAUUGACUAGCUAAAAAGGGGAAAAUGAGGUAAAAAAAUAUAUGGAAUGAAACAAGUUUUGGGAGUUACCUUGUAGAAGGGAUUUGAUGAGAUAGGUUUUGAAUUGUUACCUAUUUUGGGCACUUUUGACUUGGUUGAGGGAUGAUUACCUGCUGCUCGCGCAUAGGAAUCCUAUUAUGCCUCAAGGGUAUUUUUGUCCUCUUUUGUCCAAAAAUCCACGUGCUGCCUUGUGAUUAUUUUUGGCUCCACAAUUGUUACAACAGCACAAAAACUAUGAAAAAUAUGUUUGCAAUGGUACCUUAAUGAACAAUUUCAUUACUCAUUAUUGGAUUUUUUAAGGAUCAAAAUAUGUGGUAUGUACCAAUUUUCUUCUCUCCUAUCCUUUUUUUUUUCAUUCGGUUUCUUCUCUCCUAUCUUAAUUGAUUGUAAUCAUAAGAAAGAUUGUAUGCUUUAGCUUGUUCAUCAUUCUUUUAUACUGAUAGAAGUGCAUACCCAUACCACGCGAGACCCCUUAUGCUUAAACAAUGUAUGUGACCUACUCACCCUUAUCUACUUUCCAUCCAAUUCUGUCAAAUAUUUUAUGUCACUAACCUAAAUUUAAUUUGGACAUGAAACUUUAAGAGUAUAAUAAAUACAUAAAAAAAUGGCUAGGAAAGCACUAGGGCUAGAUAUUGCUAUGUCGGCUUUCAGGAUUUCUAGGGGUUUUUGAGGCAAUGGUUUGGCUGGCAAUGAAGGCAACAAUUUGGGUACGCCAAAGGUGUUUGUUUUCUAGAAUAGUAAGGUUAAUGGGGGUUUUUUACUGUGAGUUCUUGCGGAGCACUGUGCAAGCGGUGUAUACGGGGAUGAACGAUAUGGUUACAAAGUUUGCAGAAGGUUUGGAUCUCAUGAUUAAGGAAUAGAGAGUUGUGGUGAUCGACGAUCAUGAAAGUGCUCUUCUUAGGACCGACAAGGUCUUCUUGGUGGGGAAGGUGCUUACAUGAAAGGACUUCAACAAGGAUAGGUUCAAACGUCAAAUGUUGAAUAUUUGGCGUCCGAAAACAAGAGUUAUGAUAGUUGAAUUAGACGAUGGGUUGUUUUUGUUUGGUUUUGACAAUCGUCGGGAAAGGGCAAUGGUGUAAAACGGGGGCCCAUGGUUAUACGACGGUGCCUUGUUAAUGUUGGCAGAGGCGGACAGUUUGGUGAAUCCGGCAAGUAUUCCGUUAAUGCCUCAGAAGUUCUGGCUUCAAGUCAAGGGUCUACCUCUGGCUUAUAUGACUUAACAUAUGGGUCAGUUUAUUGGGAAUCAAAUUGGAGAUCAUGUUUUAACUGAUCAGAGCAAGAAAGGUGAGCUAUUGGGUAGCAUUAUGCGUAUUAGAGUUGCACUGAAUAUUGCUACACUGCUUCGCCAAAGUCUGUAUUAUCCAUACAGGGCACGGAGGUCCGGGUUGAGUUGGGGUAUGAGAAGCUACCAAUAACAUGCUUUUUAUGUGGGCUUUUUGGUCAUAUAGAAAAGCACUGCGUACAAUUCAAAGGGAAAAACAAUGAUGAUUUCUCGAAGUCGUAUGGCUAUUGGUUCCAGAACGAUGUUUUGUGAGCUAAUUAUCGUAAGCCAUAAGGUAAGAGGUUUGGGUUGGAGCUGUCGCAUGGCUGGUCUAUGAAAGCUCCAAUGCACGUCGAGAAGGUUGACAGUACAAGUAAUUAUGAAGGGGUGGUCUAGGCCACGAUAGAGGAAGCUGCGUCAGUAGCUAUAGAGGCACAGUCAAACGAUGACAGACUGAGAGGGGAACAUGAGGAUGAUAGUAUUAAUGACACCAUUAAUUUGCCAUAUUUGAAUGUUGCCGUUACUUCCGAGGAGAUGAUGAUUGAUGCUAUGGCAAUUAUUCCUUUCCAACCAACUCCUAUAAAUCAGGAACUACGUGGGUUGACUUUAUUUGGAUUUGAUUUAAAUGCCCUACCAGCUGGGAGUGGAGAGCAUAUUUCGAUUCAUUCUUCUAUUGUAAUGAUGGGGGUAGGUAAUACAACUGGGGAGAGCCUCAUUGGGCCUCGUAGUGGUGAGGGGAUUGUAUUGGGCCACCAUGUGGAAAUGGUGGAUUACAACUUGGGCCACGCACAAACUGGUGUAGGAUCGGACCCAUUUAAUUUAAUGCUUAUUAUUGAGCAAUUCUCGUCACAUGGACAGUUUACAUUUAAAGUUGAAUUUUGAUCGUAGUUUUACAAUUUAUAGUAGAGGUAGCUCGAGAAGAUUAUGUGUUUUAUGGAAGGAGGAAAUAAAUUUACGUUUAAGGUCUUAUUCUCAGAACCAUGUUGAUUUUGAUGUGUGUUCCGGGGGAUUCAGAUUAUUGGCACAUUACUGUUUUUAUGGAUUUUCAGCUAUGGCCGAUCGUUAUAAGUCCUGGCAAUUGUUACAGUCUCUGUCAUAAUGACUAUCAACCUUAGUUAUUAUGUAUUGGUGACUUUAAUGAAGUUCUCCAAGCUCAUGAGCAGGAAAGGGGUAAUGUUUGACAAGAUAGACAAAUAGAAGGAUUUCGUAAUGCAGUAGAAAGUUGGCGAUUUAUUGAUCUUGGCUUCACUGAGAAUAAGUAUAUGUGGUUUACAAUAAAAGGGGGUGGAAUAAAGGUGAGGUUAGAUCGUGCGCUGGGUAAUCAGGAAUGGAUUAAUUUGGUUCCUCGAUUCACAGUGAAUUAUUUGAAUAAAUCCAUACCGUAUCGUGUACCAGUUCUAUUGAAUUAGUCGGGGCGUAUGCCAGUUCGAGGGAGAAAGUAGUUUCGUUAUGAGGAAUUUUGGAAUAUGCAUGAAGGGUGUGCUGAAGUGGUAUGAAAUGAUUGGGAAAGUGCUGUGAUUGGGUCGCCAAUGUUCUAGGUCACUGAGAAAAUAAAAUUGACAAGAAUGUAGCUAAACAACAGGGCUCAAAGUAAUGCCAAGUCGGGGCCGAGAGAGAUUAGCUAAGUGGAGGACAAGCUUACAAGUCUGUUAGGCCACCCUCUUAUAGAGGAAUCUAUUAAGCAAAAGAAGACACUUAUUGGCAGACUAAAUAGGUUACUUGAACAAGAAGAGCAAUAUUGGAGACAGCGAUCGAAGGAUAAUUGGGUUAAAUUUGGGGACCGCAAUACCAAAUAAUUUCAUUAGAAAGCAAAUAGGCGACAAAAAAGAAAUUGUUUAUAUGGUAUAAUAGAUGAUCAUGGGGAGUGGCAUGAGGACCGUGGAGGGAUGGAAGAUAUAGUUGUGUCAUAUUUUUCUUGCCUGUUUGCUUCUAAUGGAGUGAAUAACUUUGACGAGGUCUUAUGUCAUAUGUCACCCUCGAUAACGAAAGAGAUGAAUUCUUCACUAGAGAGCCCCUUUACAGAUGAUGAGAUUAAAUGUGCAAUGUUUCAAAUGCAUCCAAAGAAAGCACUUGGCCCUAAUGGUAUGUCUCUUAGAUUUUAUCAAAAACAUUGGGGGGGUGGUUAGUGUGGAUGUGUGUAAUGGAGUUCGAAACAUGCUCCUCUCGGGUCACUUUUUGAGGAAAAUUAAUUAUACCCAUGUUACGUUAAUUUCCAAGGUAAAGGAUGCUACAAAGAUGACACAGUUACGACCUAUUAGUUUAUGCAAUGUCCUAUAUAAGAUUGUGGCAAAAGUUCUUAUGAACAGGUUGAAUGCUAUUCUCCUUCGUAAUAUUGCGCCUACCCAGAGUGCUUUUAUUCCACGGUGCCUGAUCUCUGAUAAUUAUUUAGUUGCCGUUGAAGUUGCUCAUUAUAUGCAUAAGAGAUCAUCAAGGUCAAAUGGUCUCAUGGCUUUGAAAUUGGAUAUUAGUAACGCAUAGGAUCAGGUGAAGUGGAGGUUUCUUGAGGCCAUAAUGUCUCGCAUGGGCUUCUCUAAUAAGUGGACUAAGAUGAUUAAUUAUGUGUUACAGUGACCUACUCUUUCAAGCUGAACGGGGAUCCGGUAAGUCAUGUGCAUCGGUAAAGGGGAAUUUGACAAGGGGACCCCGUCUCACCCUAUUUGUUCGUUAUUUAUGCCGAGGGUCUCUCGGCAUUGCUCUCAAAGGCUAAAACCAAAAGGGAGUUGCAGGGAGUUAAAUUAUGUCGUAAUGCCCCUAGUAUUCAUUAUUUCUUCUUUGCUGAUGAUAGUUUUCUGUUUGCUCGUGGUACCCUUUAUGAGUGUCAGAAAAUCAAGCAGGUGGUACGUAUGUAUGAGGAGGCCUCUGGGCAAGCAAUGAAUUUCGAGAAAAGUUGUGUCUCUUUUAGCCCUAAUCUCACGUGUUUUGAUAAGCAAUUGCUUGCCGAUUGCCUUGGCAUGAGGAGGGUGGAGUUUCAUGAUAAAUAUCUGGGUUUGCCGGUCCUAAUUAGGAAAUCGAAAAAGGAAACUUUUGCGUAUGUGAAAGAUAGGCUUUGGAAGAAAUUACAAAGUUGGUUGGGGGGGGGGGAUUUGGUGGAGUGGUGAUCUGGGCAAGCAGCUUAAUUGGCGAAGUUUGUGUAAGCCUAGGAGAAAGGGAGACCUUGGGUUUAGGGAUCUCUAUGCAUUUAACCUUGCUUUGUUAGCAAAGCAAGCUUGACGGUUCAUGUAUCAACCUGAGUCGCUUACUUUUCGUGUAUUCAAGGCUCGAUACUUUCCUACGACAUAAUUUCUGGAGGCUCGAGUUAAAGCUAACAGCUCCUAUGUGUGGAAAGCAUUGUCGCUUCUCGGGGGGGGGGUGAUACAAAAGGGUUCUCGAUGGCAGGUGGGGAAUGGGAGAAUAAUACACAUUUGGCAAGAUAAUUAGGUGCCGAAAGACCAUUACUUUCAAAUUUUGACCCCUUCUUUGGCGCAUUGGGAUAGUGAUGUUGUGGUGGAUGGCCUUUUUGGAAUGAGUCAAAGCAAUGAAAUGUUCAGUUAUUGGGUGAGCUAUUUUCUUCUGAGGAAGUGGAGUUAAUUCGGAGCCUUUCUCUUAGCUUGAGGAAUGUGGAAGAUUGUUGGAUUUGGCACUAUGAGUGGAAUGGCAAGUUCACGAUGCGGAGCGCAUACCAUGUAGCACGGGCCCUUAAUGUUUCUAGCGGGGCAAAUGCAGAAGCAUCGUCUUCCUCUUUUGGUAGAGUGGGAGAGAACUUUUGGAAGAAAUUAUGGGACACACCUGUGUUCCGAGGAAGGUUAAGAUUUGUGCUUGGUGUGCGUGUUUAGACACAUUACCUACAUGCUCGAAUCGGCGCAAAUAGUGGGUGAUGAGUAAAGAUGUUUGUGUGGUUUGUGGUGGGUUAGUCAAGUCCAUUGAGCAUGCAUUAGGAGAUUGUAGCUUGGUAAAGGCAGUGUGCUUUCGAAGUCUAGGCUGAGGGUGGAGAUGGAUUACAGGUUGUCUUUAGUGUAAUGGAUCUCUCGAUUAUCUCUACAGAUUCCCUCAUCUAGGUUUGAGUUAUGCUUAACGUUGUUUUGGGCUAUCUAGAAGCAAAGAAAUUACAUGGUUUGGGAAAACGGUUCUUUGAUCCCCUCGCAGGAAGUGGUGUUGAGAGCUGAAGGUUGGCUGUGUGAGUUUCAACAAUGGCAUAAAUGGGCUACAAAAAAGGCUAGCUGAGAGGUGUAGCAGUGGUAGAAACCAAAAGUUGGAUGGGUAAAGUGUAAUUUUGAUGGAGCAUGGAGUUGAAAUGGACUAUGAGGGGGUUUUGGGGUGGUAAUUUGCAAUCAUUCAUAGGAGUUUUUGGCUGCUUCUGCGGGUCCUAUUGAGAUGACACAAUCGGCACUCUACGCAGAGUUGAUUGUUCUUCGAAAUGCAGUUUUAUUGGUUAAAAAUAAUUGUCCUAUCGGCUGGAAGGUUAUUUUUUAAGGAGACUCUAGUUUGCUGCUGGUGGCAAUGAAGAAUCAAGGGGAAAAUUGCUCCUUUGGUCCUGUAAUAAAUAAUGUUAAAGUCUUCCUCAAAGGAAUGGCUUAUUCACGAGUUACCCAUGUGCAACAGAAGGGCAACUCUACUGCACAUCACCUUGCUCGUACGGGUAUUAGGAGUUCUCAAGAGAUUAUGUUGUUUGAGGAGCCUCCGGAUGUACUCCAAGAUGUCUUAGUUGAGGAGGGAAUGUAAUUUCUAUAUUGUUCAGCUAAGGAUAGGUCACAUUAUUAUGCGGGACACUCUUUUUCCCUUCAACCGGGAUGAAAUCCCCGGCAAGGUUUUUAUCAAGGCCCAUUAUGCACACUAUCCUUAGGUUGUACGUACUCUUUGUUCUUUAAUGAAUAUCGUUUCAUUUUCAAAAAACAAAAUGGGAAUUGUUAUUGGCACUCCAAAAAUCUCAUUUGGCAUUCCAAAUUUUCUAAAAUUAGAAAAAAGAAAUACACUUAUGAGGAGUGUAGAAUGAGAUUUUUGGAGUGCUAAAACAAAUUCCCUUUUUAAAAUGAUGUCAAGUGAAGAUGAUUUUCACAGUUUGCAAAAUUAAUUUCACAAUCCAACCGGCAAACUUAUUUGCAUAUACUCUAAAAUCGUACAAGCCAAAAAUGAUCAAAACUAAACUUUUGGGGAUUAGGUAACAAGACAAAAUCCUUUGAUGGUUAGAAACAAAAAUUCGAGAUUUAAUGAUUAUUUUAGCUCCGAUUUUGAUUUUUUUUUUUUACAAAAUCUUACGUUCUACUUAAUGUAAGUAUUGAAACGAACUUUAAGUAAUUGUUAAACCUAUUGUUUUGACGUUAAACUUGUUUAUAUAUACUCUGAGAUCAUAUACACCAAAAAUCACCAGAAACGAUCUUUUGAGGAUUAGAUAAUGGGACGAAAUCCUUUGAUAGUUGUGAACGCAUCAUCACAAUUUAAUUGCUAUACAACCUUUGAUUUUGAUUACGUUUUCAAGGAUGCUAAUUGAGAAUAAAACCACACACUAAAUUGACAUGGUCAUCAAAUUUGAUGAUCUUUCAACUGUUUGAAUAUUAAAUAAAAAUGUAAGCUAAAAAUAAACUUUUUAUGUUUGCCCGACAAAAUAAGUACAGUUCAUCGACCAAAUGUACAUAAUUUCAUUGGGCAACAAUAUUUAUUGGGUAAAUUACAUUUUAUCCCCUCAGGUUUGGGGUAGAUUUCAAUUCCUUAUAGCAACUUUAAAACAUUUCAAUUUCAUACAUUUAUUUAUCAUUUUAUUUCAAUUUCAUACAUCCGUUAAGUAAACCGUUAAGUGAUGACGUGGCUGCCAAAUUUGUGCCACGUGGCAAAAAAAUAAAAUAUUAUAAUAAUUUAUCCUAUUAAAAAAAAAAAAGAAACCCAUCUUCUUCCCCGAGCACUCCCAUCCCCACACCCCACCUACAAACCCUCCCUACCCCACAACCAUCUAGAAACCCAUCUCCAACCCCACCCACAAACACCUGCACACUAGCGUAUCGAGAAGCUUCUAGGGCUUUUCAAGAUCGAGCUGCGACGUGACUCCACGGCCAAUGCAGUCGACGACAACGAGGCUUGCAUGGGUGACAUGCGCAUAAAGAUUUUGUCCUCCCAGGACAUGGUGUUCCAGUGCCAGAGGGUGGGCUUUGGGUGGGGUGGGGUGGGGUGGGGUGCGGUGGGGGUUGCAGGGGUAGGGGGUUACAGGUGGGGUAGGGUGGGAUGGGUGUGCUCAGGAAGAAGAUGAGUUUCUUUUCUUUUCUUUUUAAUAGGAUAAAUUAGUAUAAUAUUUUAAAUCCAUAAAAAAAAGAUUUUUUGCCAUGUGGCACAAAUUUGGCAACCACGUCAUCACUUAACGGUUUACUUGACGGAUUUUCUAACGGAUGUAUGAAAUUGACAUAAAAUGGUAAGUAAAUGUAUGAAAUUGAAAUGUUUUAAAGAUGUUGUUAGGAAUUGAAAUCAACUCCAAACCUGUGGGGGUAAAAUGUAAUUUACCCAUAUUUAUUUCGUCGGGCAAACCUAAUAAUUUCCUUUGGCUUAAAGAUGUCAAAUAUUGGAAAUAUUGUGAAAUUACAAGAAUAUUGUAAAAGUUUGUGAAAUUUGAAGGAAAUUUGUUAAAUAAUUUUUGGAAAUAAAUUAAAUUUGUAGGAAAUUUGUGAAAUUGUAGGAGAGAAAUGAAAUUUGUAGUAAAGAAAUGAAAUUUUAUCAAAUAAUGUCAUAUUAAAAUAAUUUUUGUAAAUGAUUGUUUCUUUAUAGUGUUAUUUUUUCAUAGAUGUCAUCGUUGUUUAUCACCAGUGGCUGCCGCUCUGCCUCCGGUUCAGGUUAGUGUGACCUAGCGGCAGAGAUACACAAUGACAUCAAGGCAGCUAUUUCUGAGUCGGCGGCCGACCCCAGUAGAUAUGCUGCACCAAGCCUAGUGCUCCAAUAUGCCUAGCGUGUUCACAACCAGAUACGACAUAACACUGUGUUAGCCCUUUGUUGAUGGUGGAAGGCGGAUGCUGAUUCAGCAGUCAUUCACUUAAAAGAACAUAGAGAACACACCACAUAAGUGCCAUAUUCUGCACCAAGUGACCCAUGCUCGCCCGUUCAUGGAAAAAGCUCUCCCCCAACUGCAUGAGGAGAUUGUUAGAACCCAUCUCUGAUUUUUACGUGGUUUUAAUAUUAAAAGAGUGAAAUAACCAAAAUGCCUCUAGAAGUGAGGAUUUUGACUUUCAUUAACCCUCGGAGCAUUACACGUAUGAAGCAUUCUCUUAGCAUAUUUUCAUAGUACUCAACGAUACGAGCGAAACUCAGAAUGUCAAGGGUGAUUUGGUAAUUUCACGUUCCUCGAAGAUAUUUUUUGUUUUGUCCUUUGGUGGCAAUGAAGUGUGUGCUAGGUGGGGCCCACACCCCACUCCACCUCUCCCUCUUGUCUCUCCCGUGUCUCCCCAUCUCUCAAAUCCCUCUCCUAUCUCUCUCAUUUUCCCUAUCCACCUUACGUCGCUCCCUCGAACUUUCUCCCUACUUUUAGAGCACCAACAUGCCUCGCCAAUGCUAGCGAGUUUCACCACCGCGAAACCAUGCUCACAAACCAUAACCCCCCCCCUUGAUGAGCUCCAUUUAGCUCAGAAGUGAAAAUCACGGUUUAGACACUGAAUGAGAAAACACGACUUUGGUUUUGAAUAUGGAAGUUUUCCAGCAAGGAUCUCAUUAUUUUCAAUGAUGGUAAGUUUGGAAAUCAAGCCAAAUUAAUUUAGGUUGUGAGUAAGAUUUUGGGUUCAUACAUGUGCUUUGGUGAUGAUUUGAUGUAGAAACACCUCGGGGAAGUUUUUCCCAGAUUUUUGGAAAAUCAGAAAUGUGGUUGUCGAGCCACUAUUAGACCUUUUUCAACCAUCUCCAGCCUCCGUUGAGCCUCGAUUUUGAUAUAGACCUAUUCCUUACAAUCCUAACUUCAUUUUGGCAUUUGAAUGAUUGAAUUUGGUUCAAAAUUGAGCUCAAAAUGAGCUCUGAAAGUUGGUAGAAAAACCUUCAAAACUAUAGGGAACUCGCGAGGAAGGCUAAUACUAGCAUGCUCUUGGCUUAUGGGCACGUUGAGGGUUCCUCUGCACUAGUCACGUGCGGCGUGUGGUUGUCUGUGCAGCCACCUUCUGGCGAUACAUGGAAGAACCUGAGGUCCCAGCUUAGCUUUCUCGACGUGCCAAAUUCAAAUUCAUCCUUUGUUUUUUGAAAUUUGAUGGUUUUAAAAUUAGUUCCUUUAUUAGUCGUACUUUGUAUGCGAAUUUACUUUUGUUCAUUAUAUAUUUACAUAAAUGGUUUUGUUUCUAGGUGAAAUGCAUCACAAGGAUCUUUGAUGCCUACGAGGCGGGUUUGACCCAAUGACAUGAUUUAUGAGUGGGCCUUUGCCUUUAAAUAUUAUAUAUUUAUUUAGUUUCCACAUAUAUAUUUUAUAAAGAAUUUUCUACAUAUGCCUAGAUUGGACUAAAGUUUGUAAGAAUUAGCGAAAUGAUGGAAUUUACAAAAUUUUACUAAAUCCUACAAGAUACUUAGGUAUGCGUACUAUUACAGGAUUUUAUUUACGGCCAUGAUUAAUAUUUUAUUGAAUAGUAUUUUUUCUACUAGAAUUAUCAAUUUACCAUUGUAUGAUCAUAUUUACGUUAUCUGCUCAUUAUGUGCUACACUGGUGUUAGUACUCACCCGGGCCUGGGCCUUCACGUGUAUUUCAUAUUGCAUCGUACGCUCAUUUUGGAUCCAUUGUAGGUACCAGUCCCAUCAUAGAUUGCUACAGGCAAUUAAGACUCGUAUCUGAUGCGCAUAGCGCCAAUCUUCACAUGAUUGUAGUAGUACUAUAGCGUAAAUCAUUAUUACACUCAGUCUUGUUCAUGCCUAAAUUUCUCCGCAGGAAUUCAUGUGUUAGCAUAUGUUGAUGAGCAUUCAAUAUGAUAAGUUCGUUUAUGUGAGAUAUUGUGAUUAUCUGAUGUCAUAUAUUUUAUAUGCAGAAAUAUUCUGAAUGACUGCAUUUUGAUAUGUUACUGUUUAUGUAAGUAUUUUCAUACUAUAGGUAGUAUGUAUAUUUGGAAACUAUACUUGUUUUACGGCGGGGGUUAUUACAUAUUUGAAAAGGUUUUUACAAAGCUUUAUUUUUUUAGGCCCACUCACCCUUGUUAUUCGCUCCAGGUUUUAGUAGAAAAGUUUUUAUGUCGACAAGGAUUCUUGGCAAAUGUUGGUAUAGGAAAGUACCUUCGAUGAUAUAAUUCUUAUCCUACUUUUACUAUACUUUACUUAUGUUUUGACAUCACGUGUGAAUUGGGUUCAAUCUCGCUCACAUGUACACUCUUGCAUUUAGUCACUUUAGGUUUAAAUUUAUUCAUAUUUUACACGUCACUACACUAUAUGGCUUGGUCACCUUUAUAGUCUCGGCCAACACAGCUCAAUUUGGAGUCUAGGUGGACAUUCCGUAUUGCGGUGUGUCAAUUUGGUAUUAAAGCAUAAGUUUUGGCAGUACUGCAUUCAUCACACAUGUGAUGUAAGCAGUCUCGGUUAUUGAACCUAAUUGUCGAAUAUUGCCACCUCGUGAAACACAAAAAAAUGUAUUAGCUUUUCCUAAGUUUUGGGUGACUUAGACGACUUAUUAACAUACUAGAAGAACAUUUUGGCAACCGCCUCUAGAUUUUAAACAAAGAACCUCCCUGCCAAGGAAAAUUCCGAUUUGGAAAUGAGUUAAUGGCCCUGAAGUAGGGCUAAGGUAUAGAUUGGUGUGUAGCACCAGUGAUAUUACCAAUUAAUCCCACUAUCUUCCCCGUUAUUAUCCAGUCAUUCUACCAACCCUUCUAAGAUAGGAAACCACAAUUAGUUUUGAUCCUUGGCAGUGACUGCUUAGUAAAUCACCUAUUUGAAUUCUUAUGAAGUUUUACUUUUCGUUGAAAUUUUCGAAAAUGUCUCAAGUGACAAUAUGGUGCUAAAUUUUCGAAAAUGUCUCCAGCGAAAAUGUCUCAAGUGACAACAUCUAGGGGAACGGUCACUUUUGGUCCCCAUUAGCACUACUCUUCUCAAAUGCACUAGUUAUAAUUCCAAAUCUUCAGGAGGAAGAUCGAUUUCCUUUAAAGUCCAUUUUGAAGUAAGUUAUUAGAAAAUUCCUUUUCUCGGCCUAUAACACUUCAACCAACAUUAUUUCCCAAAUUUACUUUCAAUGCAGUAUCCAUCAUUACGUUGUGUAUUAGCAUGGGGGUAUAAGUUGUUAAAUGUACAGUUAGUAAAGAUACCAUAAGCAGUAAUUAAUUCUCCCUAGAAUUAGUGAAACUAAAUCACUUGACCAGUUCAUUACUAAUCAACCAAAACUAUCCAUCAGCAGACUCUAACCUGUAAUUAGCCUACGAUGGCCAUACUCAUUGACGAUACGGUCCGAUAUCCAGAAGUUGUUAACCAGUAUUUAGGCGGUAUGAUUUUUGAUACUGGACACAUGCUAGUAUUUAGGAGUGAUACAUUUGUGCCAGAACGUCGAUUCACACUUUCAGGAAGCGAACAAUACCAAAAUAUUAGAAAUGCAUUAAUCAGCAGUACGACUGAUAGACUGAUUAAUAGUGAAAACAUGGGCCGAAGAAAUUACAAUUGUUCAAACUUAGGAGCAAGCCUUGUAGGAAGACAGUAAACUCGUAGAUUUUUUAACCAUAUUACCCAUUUAGUAACCCAAACAUUCUCCACCAAUCAUUAUUGUGGUCACUUCCACCGACAAACAUUAAAAUUGAAGUAUGAGUUAAAUUCCCGCUGUAAGGGCAAAUUAAGGAUCGAGAAAGUUGUGAAGACCUAUUAGUACAUGUACAUAAAGGAAGUAGUAUUGUACGUUUCGAGGACACGUAUCUUUGGCAUCAUUUCUAAAAAUUCUACUUGCGAUACCAUUGAAGCGAGAAGUGGAGUACACCAUCUUUCCACCUUUCUAAUACCACACUUAUUCUCUUUGCAUCAUAUUGAACGACUUCUUCGACAUUGAGGAAACUUAGUUGUAAAAGCUUAUUGAUUAGGAAUUUUCCAACCCAACACUUUAUCUUAGGGAACCUCUAACCUAUUUGCGAAGGCGAAAGACCGAACCUUAAGGUUGUACCUAGAUUCUGGGAACUUAAUCGGGUGAAGAUUAAAAACCGUUAAUCUAUACUUCAAAUUGAUGGUCUCUCCGACCAACUAGCCCGAGUCUUCUUCCAUAGCCUGACGAAUUUGUAGUAGUCUUACCAAUGACUUUCUUACCUACUCUAGUAACGAGAUCAAAUUCUCUAAACACCAACAAUCAGCUUUAUACCAAGUUCUUAAAAUGUUAACUUUGUUUAGAUUAGGUACUUUCCUUGGGAGAUGUGAUUUCAUCAAACGACAUUCUUGUCAACUCCCAAAAGGUUGCAAAUCUAGAAAAAAUUGGAUAUUUCCAUGAGUUGUUGUGAAAUACGAGAUAUCUUUGCCCUUAUCAAUUUUAAUUGGCAAUUUCUUAGCAAUUUUUCAUUUAUAGUGUUUUUUCCUCACAUGUUAAUUGAGGAAAGUUAGUUUAAUUUGAGAUGUUGAAUGUGAAUAAAGUUUUUGACAAUAGAACUGUUGUAUCACUUCACCUUUGUCUUACACCCUUUGAUGACAUUGAUCAUUUCAAAUACUGUGAUGUUCCACCGAAUGAUUUGAUUGCAUGUCGAUGUAGCAUGAUGGAGUAUCACUUAUGCUUCUUGACGGUUUAAACCGUACGUAAUGAACUAUCUUAUUUAUGACUUAGAGUCAACAUUUAUCAUCUUUAUUUGAAAAUCGGAUGACACUUCUUUGUGGAGAAACGUGUCCAAAAUCUUUACCAAUCUCACAAACUUCUCAAAUACAUCUUCAUUUGAAAAGAGCUAAAUUUUUUACAGAUACAAUGGAACAACCAAAUCAAUGUCUACGAUUGCGCCACCGUAUAUAACCCCGGCUAUGCAAAUGUAGUUACUGUUUAACACAACAAAAGAUAUAUGUACUCUUGAACACUUUCAGCUUGUCUUAUUCCAUUUCAAUUGGAAUUCACGAGUAUUAAUGUGACAUUACUUACAAAUCAUCAAGAAAUCAUUCGAAUGGUUAUAAUCACUUCCUGUAUUUGAAUGGAGAUGGGAAAAAUAUCACCCUAAGCUCCCAAUACAAGGUAUCUUGUACAUGUGGAGAUUAUGAUGAUGUUUCGAUGAUUAUCGACCGACUCGACAAGUCAUCUCACUUCCUAUUGGUCCUACAGAGAUUACAUUUUAAACUAGUUGGUAAAAUUUCUCAUUCUUGAAUUUAUUAGAUUUCCUGACUUUUCGAUAAACAUCUACUUCGACUGUGAUUCCAUAUUCACCUCUGGUACUCAAGGCAUUCCAAUCAACCUUAGGUAUGUGUCUACCCUAUUGCACUUAAUAUUAUUUCUAAGGCAAGUAGACUGUCUACAAGAACCAUUGACAUUGAAAUUUUAGUUGUGACCAUUAAUUCUUCUAUCACCCAACAAAUAAUAUGCUGAACGAAUCUUUACCGUUGGUGAUUGAAUAUUUCGGAAGCUACCGUUAUAGCAAGAUGUUAUGCAUUUAAUCCAGUUACCUUGUAUUUGAUGGACUUGUUUGACUCUCAAAUUCUUGAGUGUUCUUUUAGCCUUUUCGAUGUAGUUUUCUCUAAACCUAAAAGAAAUUCAUAAUGAAUCUUCUUGCUGAGGGAUGUGUGAAUCACAAUGUUCAGUUACAUGGUCAGCCAAUCGCUAUUGUAUCUCACUGUGAUGCGUAUUUCAUUUCCAAGUCUCGUGAAGCCAUCUUCAAGGCCAUGGAUACUAAGUUGUUGUCCAAAACCACAUUUCACUCACAUACUAAUGGCCAGUCUGAACAAACUAUCCAUUACUAUUAUAGUUGCAUGUAACCACGGUUAUUAUUACGGUUUUGGGUAUGGCACUAUUUGUGAUGAUGUAUAGAGAAUUCUACGGACAAUACAUGAUAGACAAAUGAGUAUUGCAAAUAGGUAUUCAAAGAAUUGAGAUUACAAUGUAGGAAAUUGUGUGGUACUGACGAUGUCGCCCAUGAAGGUAGUGCAUGAGCACGAUCACGGCGUAAAUCUGAUGACUUAUGGCACAUUUUUCCAAUGAGGGGCAAGAUGGUGAUUUUACACCCUUGGGUAUUGCGGGAUGCAGACGGUAAUAUCGAUGACUUAUUCAUUUCGUUCGUUAAGCAAGUGGACAAGUAGGCCCUUCUACGUUAGUAUUUUUAUAUAUUGUUUGGGAUUGACCCAAAGAUAAUACACACAUAUGCUCGGAGUAUGCAAUGAUACGAAUGCAUAAGUGAAAUUUUUUUUCUAUUUUCAGUUUUAAUUUUAGUACAAUUAUUUUAAUUUUAUGUUAUUAUAUAUAUAUAUAUAUAUAUAUAUAUAUAUAUAUAUAUAUCUGUUGUAGUCUAUUUUUAUCUGACAGAGAGACUAGGGCCGGCGGCAGAGAGAGAGGAGAGGGAUGUGUGUUUGUAGAAUUGUAGGGGAAUGUAUGUGUUGUUAUCCCUCCUACAUUGUGCCUUUAUUUAUAGUACUAAAAGGGAGAGAAGAUAUUCCUUCUCCUCCAAGUAAUACAAGUUGUAAUAGGAAAGGAUAACUAGAAUCAAAUCUAAUCUAGGAUUUACACAAUCACACUUAUUCUAGGAAUGUUUACAACACUCCCCCUUGAGUGUGCAAAUACUUAAGGUAGAUUCAGCAUCAUGCAGAAGUUGAGGAAGUCGACUCGUCGGCAUUGAUUCAAAGGAACAACGCUUAUUUUCAAUAAGGUAGGAACUUGCAUAAGCAGUAAGUCUCACUAAAAAACCCUAAGGCUAUGGUAAAAACCCGAGUAGGGACAAAAUCCAUAGUCUAAGGAAAAAUGCGUGAAAAAUGCAAAGUCAAAAGAAACGUCUACAGGAUGUCAUCAGGGAUAUGACCAGCCCAAGGUGGGUGCCUCGUUAAAACCUAGUUAGGUAGCAAAAACCCAGUGGGAAAAAUGCUCCUAAUCGUAGGGAAAAAGAGUACAUUAAGAUCAAGCAAGUAUCCAGAAGAUACUCCCCUUGAGUUUGACAUAAUUCCAAAGAGAAAUAGCAAAGUUACAACUCAGAAAGUUUACGCAUACCAAUUCCAUGAACAAGCUUCUGAAACGUUGCCUUCGGUAGUGAUUUGGUGAAGAGGUCGACCAGAUUGUCUUGUGAUUGGAUUUGCGUCACUUCAAUCUUCUGAUGCUCUUGUUGUUGAUGUGUAAAGAAGAACUUCCGCGCAAUAUGCUUGGUGUUGUCUCCUUUGAUGUAACCCUUCUUGAGCUAUUCGAUGCAAGCUGCAUUGUCUUAAAAAAUCGUCGUCGGGGCAUUAACGGCGGGAUGAAGAUCACAGGAGCUUCGAAUAUGGCCCAUUACUGCUCUCAACCAAAAGCAUUCCCGAGUUGCUUCAUGUAAGGCGAGAAUUUCAGCAUGGUUAGACGAAGUGGCAACUAAGGUCUGUUUAGUUGACCUCCAAGAUAUUGCGGUGCCUCCAACGGUAAAGACAUAACUUGUUUGAGAACGCGCCUUGUACGGAUCAGAUAAGUAUCCAGCGUCGGCAUAACCAACAAGGCGAGAAUCAACCCGAUGAGCAUAGGGUGCGGCAUCACUCGAGGAUUCGUAGGGAUAGAAUAAGCCCAAAUCUGUAGUACCCUUAAGGUAACGGAAGAUGUCUUUCACGCCAGUCCAAUGUCUGCGUGUUGGUGUAUUGCUGUAUCUUGCCAAAAGAUUAACAGCGAAGGAGAUGUCGGGUCUAGUGCAUUGAGCUAAGUACAAUAAAGCGCCUAUCGCACUUAGAUAAGGAACUUCAGGUUCCAGAAUCUCUUCAUCAUCCUCCUUCGGACGGAAAGGAUCUAGCUUUGCAUGUAGCGUACGAACGACCAUAAGAGUACUCGAAGACUUCGCUUUAUCCUCAUUAAAACGGCGCAGCCCCUUCUGGGUGUAGUUCAAUUGAUGUACUAAGAUUCCAUCCGAACAAUGCUCUAUCUCGAGACCAAGACAGUAUCGAGUCUUACCUAGAUCUUUCAUCUCAAAUUCCGACUUCAGGUGCGAAGCAGUUCUCGCAAGCUCUUCAGGAGUUCCGAUGAGAUUCAUGUCAUCGACAUAUACUGCAACAAUCGCAAAUCCGGAAUGUGACUUCUUAAUGAACACACAAGGGCAUAGUUCGUUGUUCACAUAUCCCUGACUAGUCAAAUACUCACUCAGACGGUUAUACCACAUUCUUUUGGAUUGUUUCAAACCGUACAGUGAACGUCUCAGCCGAAUUGAGAGCGUGUUUCGGGGUUUGGAAAUAUUUGAACCAGUCAAUGUAAGUCCUUCGGGAACUUUCAUAUAAAUUUCCGUAUCAAGAUCCCCAUAGAGAUACACGGUUACUACGUCCAUCAGCUGCAUAUCCAGUUUUUCAGAAACUACCAAACUGAUAAGGUAUCGAAAAGUAAUCACAUCCAUAACGAGUGAGUAAGUUUCGUCAUAGUCAAUCCCGGGGCGUUGUGAGAAACCUUGUGUUACAAGACGAGCUUUGUAACGCACAAUUUAGUUCUUCUCAUUACGCUUCCGAACGAAAACCCACUUGUAGCCAACGGGCUUCACAUGUGGAGGAGUAGGAACUACAGGUCCAAACACCUUACGUUUCGCAAGUGAAUCAAGUUCGACUUGGAUUGCUUGUUUCCAGUUUGACCAAUCAGCUCUACGUCGACAUUCAUCAACGGAACGCGGUUCAAUGUCAUCGCUCAACAUGAUCUCAGUAGCUACUGCAAAUGCUAAUGCAUCAUCGACAAUCAUCUCAUUUCUACGCGACACAUCAUCUAAGCUAGCAUAAUAGACCGAAAUCUCACGAUUCUCGGGAGGAGGAUUCGUCUCUUCAAGGACGCUUCAAUAAUCUAGAAUUUCCUUAUGAGUUAGGAAAAAUAAGUAAGCGAUAGUUGGAUUCACGGUAGGUUCUUCGAGACCUUGUGCCGUGGUUUUCCUCUUUCGGGGGUGUGAAUCCUUUGAACCAAGGGGUCUGCCACGCUUUUGUGUAGGGGCAGAGGAUUGGCUAGCCGCUAAUGUACGUGGAUCACCAGAAUUGGCGUCCCGGGCUUCCAGGAGGGUAGUCCGUCGUACAUUUGGUACAUCUAUCUUUGCAGGCGUAUUCGCAGGUGGAAUAUGUGAUCUUGUCACGCGCGCUAGAUCAGUGAAAGCAUCUGGCAUACUUUAAGCUAUGCUCUGGAGAUCUAAUAUGCGCUGCACUUCAACUUCAGACUGAGCGGUGCGGGGAUCUAAAUGAAACAAAGUGGGAGUCGUCCACGAUAAUUCGCGUCGUUCAUUAGGAACAUUGACGUUCUUAUCUCCCCCUAACGACGGGAAGACUGUCUCAUAGAAGUGACAAUCCACGAAACGAGCGGUAAACAGAUCGCCUGUCAAAGGUUCUAAGUAACGAAUAAUCGAAGGAGAAUCAUAUCUGACAUAGAUUCCCAUCCUUCGCUGAGGCCCCAUUUUUAUACGUAAGGGCGGCGAGAUCGGCACAUAGACCGCAUAACCAAAAAUGUGCAGAUGCGAUAUGUCGGGUUCACAUCCGGUGACCAACUGAAGGGCACUAAAUGGUUGUGUCGCAACAGGCCUCAGGCAGACCAACUUUGCUGUGUGCAAUAUUGCAUGGCCCCAAGCAGCGAUCGGGAGCUUGGUACGUAUGACCAACGAUCAAGCAAUCAUUUGUAAACGCUUAAUGAAAGCCUCUGCCAGGCCGUUCUGGGUGUGAACAUGGGGUACAGGAUGUUCAACUUCAACCCCAACCGACAUGCAAUAGUCAUCAAAAGUUUUAGAUGUGAAUUCUCCAGCAUUAUCCAAUCAAAUAGAUUUGAUCGAAUAAUCAGGGUGGUGAGCCCUGAGCUUGAUAACCUGAGCCAAUAGUUUGGAGAAUGCAGCGUUCCUUGUGGACAACAAGCACACAUGUGACCAACGUGUAGAAGCGUCAACCAAAACCAUAAAAUAUCUAAAUAGUCCGCAGGGAGGUUGAAUCGGUCCACAAAUGUCCCCCUGAAUCCGUUGUAGAAAAAUGGAAGGAUUCGAACGAAUCUUGUCAUAAGAAGGCUUAGUAAUAAGCUUUCCCAUAGAACAUGUUUGACAUGCAAUUUCAUGGAUCGAACCUAAGCUUCGGGUUAGUGGAUGCCCGUGUGAAGUUUUGAGGAUACGGUGCAUCGCUAUUCGUCCAGGAUGUCCCAAACGAUCAUGCCAAAGUGUAAUUUCGUGCGCGGUCCCUGUGGUAGGGCCAGCCACAUAGUGGCAUUCUAUGGGGCGUAUGGUCGUAGUAUACAGACCACUCGGGUUACGCUCCAUCUUCUCUAGAAUACGCUUCUGGCCAUAUUUGUAGGAAGUUACGCACAGGAAUUCAACUCCGUUUUCUACGUGGGUUUCAGCGUGGUAAUGGUUAUCUCUAAUGUCCUUGAAACUUAGUAACGUUCUUCCGGAACGUGGAGAAUAGAGUGCCUUAGCAAUGGUCAAGAUUGUACCAUUGGACAACAUUAUACGUGCCUUAUCGUAUCCUUCGAUCAGGUUGGAUGGGCCUGAGAGGGUUGUCAGAGGUGCAUUCUUACAGUAUGCGUGGUUGCACUAUCUGCCAAACAACUAACUUUCCCACUAGUCAUACCUAGAAUGAAAAAUUAAUUUGAAUCGGUCACAUGCAUAAAAGUUUAUAAAAACAAGUAUCAAUUCAAAAUAAUUUCAUUUAUUAAAAAAAAGCUUAAUAUCCAAAAUAAAUUGCCAACUAAUAAUCCAAAACAUAAAGGAAAAUUGUUCAAAAUCAACCAAAAAAUAAGGUGGGGUUCAGCCACUAGGUGGAAUUCGGCCCCAAUUGUCUUAUUUUAACUGAAAGAUAAGUCUAUGCCUAAGAUUCUAAUCUUCCAUAGGAGUGGUAUCCUCCUGAAAGACAGAAACCUCCAUCUUUGUAGUCUCCGGUUCGUCCACUUGCAUGAAGUUUGAUUCAAACUUCUUACGACGAGAAUGAUAUUCAUCUACAACCUUCUUGGGAGCACGGCAAACACUGGACCAAUGGUCCUUUAAACCACAACGAUAGUACAUAUCGUCAUUCAUUGUGGCAGGUGCUUUGCCCUUAUUCUUGAAGUUCGGGGCCUUGGGAGCGAGGUUUGGGCGCUUUGGGGCUUUGUUUCCUCCCUUGGAUGGGCCUUGGCUCUGUUGACCUUGGUGGGAUGGCUUCUGGCCGCCCUUACCACGCCUCUUUUGGCAUUUUGGGUGCUGAUGAGUGCUAUAAUGUGCUUCAGGCACAGCAGUAGCCUCAGUAGGUCGAGCUUGAUGAUUCUUCAUCAACAGCUGGUUCUGCUUUUCAGCAAGAAGUAAAACAGAGAUCAAAUCCGAGAACCGAGUGAACUUCUGAGCUCUAUAUUGUUACUGCAGGACAAUAUUAGAAGCAGAGAAGGUCGAGUAGGUCUUCUCCAAAAGAUCCUUUUCAGUCAAAGUUUCAUUGCAAAACUUGAGAAGUGAUCGGAUUCGACAAACUUCAUAAUUAUAUUCACUCACAAACUUAAAGUCUUGGAAGCGCAAGUGCUGCCAGUCGUGUCUUGCUUCAGGCAAGAAUAUGUCUUUUUGGUGAUCGAAACGAUCAGCCAAAGCGACCCAUAAUGCACGUGGAUCCUCCUCAGCAAGGUACUCAGUUUGCAGAGCGUCAUGAAUAUGUCUUCGGAUGAAGAUCAUAGCAGUGGCUUUUUCAGCUUCGCCAACAGGUUUAUCUGUUGCUUCUUCAAUAGCAUGACGCAAGUUCUUUGCAGUGAGAUGGAGCUUCACAUCUUAAACCCACUUGAGGUAGUUCCUCCGAGAGACCUCCAAAGCGGUGAAGUCGAGUUUGUUCAAAUUCGACAUGUUCCUAUCACAAAAUAGAUGGACAAGAUGUGGUUAGUGUAAUGGAGAAAAAUCAAUCCAUUCACAUAGGAGUAGAACAUAUAGGUUCUAAUAGACAUGUAUUGGUUUAAUUUCGCAUAAAAAACUUCGGGUUUCAUGGGUGAUAUGUUUAAGUGAAAACUUCAGGUUUUCAAACAAGGCAUGUUUAUAAGAAACUUCGGGUUUCAAAGUAAUUAUGAACUUCAAGUUCAUAUAUUCCUGCAGGCAAACACAAAUAUAUAUGCAAACAAAUAUGCAACAGAUAUAUACAAAAAUAUUGUAUAAUUAUAAUUAUAAUUGAACUAAUUUAUUUGGUCUUCGGGGCCAAAUUAAAAUGUGGGUGAAAAAAUAAAAACCCAUAUUAUUUAAAAGUAUUAAAUAAUAAAAUCUCGGGGCCUAAAAAUAUAGGCGAAGAAUUAAUUUGCGGUCCAAAAGAAAAUAUGAAGCCAUGGGUGGCUUGAAAAAUUUGGUCCGUGAGACCUAGGCCCAAAAAUUGGAUUGGGUAGGGUCUCGGGUGUAGGAUGCAGGCCUACGGGGUAGACUGGGCUGCGUUAAGCAGCCAAAAAAAAUAAAAAAAAUUUCCGCAGGCCGCUUCAGGCUGGUCCAAAAAACAAAAAGAUUUUUUCUUUUUCUUUCGGUCUGGGCCGUUGCAGGCAAGCCCAAAGGAAAAAAAAUUGUGUUUUUCUUUGUACUGGUUGGGCCGUGACAUCUCAAAGCAUCAGCAAGCCCAAAGGCGCUGAUGCAGGCCGAGGGACAGAAGCCCAUUAGGGCUCGGGUUACAGGAUAAAACAAACCCAUCAACGCUGGGUAUGUAUGGCCGAGGAAGAAGGCCGGAGUCAGUCGACGGUGUCGCUGCAGGCGACGUUUCCAAGGUCGGGACAAGGUGCUUCAAACGCACCUUGGUGUCCAAUGCUUGCGAGUGUGAAAAACCAUAGUGGAUUUCGAAUUGAAAUCGCGGAAAACCUAAUGAAAUUUCAUACAAAUUAGAUGAAAUUCUUCAGGAAUUUCAGUGAGAUUGGAUUGAAUAUCACGACACCAUGUCGGAUUUUCUGGGUUUGGGACGCCAUAGGCUUCAAGUUUCCAAUGGGGGUCACGGGUUUGGACGAGGAGCAGACACUCCAGCCGUGGUUUUGGGUUGGGCUAUCGCAGGUUGUGGGCCUGGUGACUUGCGGCUUGCAUGGUGCAAGUGCACGGGUUCAACUUAGAACCCUAAUUCCCAAAUCGCAAAAAAAAAAAAUAUUUUUUUUUUCAAUUCAAAUAUAAUUAUAUGCAUGUAAAAUUCAAUGAAUCACAUAUUUACGUUGAUGCAUAUGCAAAUAAUAGUUUCAAUGCAUGUACAUAUGUAAGAUUCAGUUCAUGACAAAUAUCAAAUUCACAUAAUUGUAGCAAUUUUGGUGAUGAAGCAUAGACAAUUUAUGUAGAAUCUAAAAUACGUUAAACGUAAAGUUGGGUCAUGCAUCAUGGUGAAUGUUCAUGCUAUCAGGGCUUGCAAAAUAUCGCGUUAAAAACCAUUGUUUGGAAAGAACCUGAUUUUGUGAUGAUAUGGAUGAACUGGUUUGAUGUAGAAAAAAAAUCUCCAACGUCAGAUUCCUAAGCGCAGCGGUAGGAGCGUGCUGAUAACGUGUUGUAGUCUAUUUUUAUCUGACAGAGAGACUAGGGCCGGCGGCAGAGAGAGAGAGGAGAGGGAUGUGUGUUUGUAGAAUUGUAAGGGAAUGUAUGUGUUGUUAUCCCUCCUACAUUGUGCCUUUAUUUAUAGUAGUAAAAGGGAGAGAAUAUAUUCCUUCUCCUCCAAGUAAUACAAGUUGUAAUAGGAAGGGAUAACUAGAAUCAAAUCUAAUCUAGGAUUUACACAAUCACACUUAUUCUAGGAAUGUUUACAACAAUAUCUAUUUUUAACUUUAUAUUUUUAUAAAGAUAUUAUGUCAUAGUAUUGUACUGACAGACAAGGAAAUUUGAGUUUUGAGGCAUGACAGAUGAAUCAUUGCAAUCCGUUCGUGACGGAAUGACAUUCUCUUUUAUGCAACCGCUCUAACUUGAUCUCUUAUUUAUAUGUAUUUCUUCCUCUUUCUUGACUAUUUUAUGUUCCUUACAUUCCUAACUUCACUUUAUCUUUUGAAUCAUUGAAUUUGGUUGAAAAUCGAGCUCGAAAUUAGCUCCGAAAGUCGGGGGAAAAACUUGCAAAAAUGCAGGAACUCACGAGGAAGGUGAGUACUAGCGUACUCAUGGGUGCGUGGGGAUUCUCCUGACCUUGGUGCCUACGGUGCUUGGUUGCCUGUGCGGCCACCUUGUGGCAGCGCAUAGAGGAAACUGAGGUCCCACCUUAGGUUUCUCAACGUUCCAAAUCAAAAUCCGCCCUCCAUUUUCAAAAUUCGAUCAUUUUAAAAUAGUUCCUUUACUAGCCGUACUUUGUACAAAUAUGCGAAUUUAUGUUAGUUCAUUAUAUAUUUUCGUAAAUGGUUUCGUUUCUAGGUGAAACGCAUCACAAGGAUCUUCGAUGUCUCUGAGGUGGGUUCGACCCAAUGACAUGAUUUGUCAGUGGGUCUUUGCUUUUAAAUAUUAUAUAUUUAUUUAGUUUCCACAUAUACAUUUUAUAAAGAAUUUUUGACAUAUGCAUAGAUAAGACUAAUGUUUAUAAGAAUUAGCGAAAUGAUGGAAUUUACGAAAUUUUGCUAAAUCCUACGGGAUGCACAGGUAUGCAUACUAUUAUGGGAUUUUAUUUAUGGCCAUGAUUAAUAUUUUAUUGGAUAGUAUUUUGUCGACUAGAAUUAUCGAUUUACCGUUGUAUGAUCAUAUUUACUUUAUUUGCUCAUCGUGUGCUAUACUGAUGUCAGUACUCACUCGGGCUAGAGCCAGUCUUCACAUGUAUUUCAUAAUACACUGUACACCCACUUUGGAUCCAUUGUAGGUGCCAGUCCUAUCUUAGAUUGCUAUAUGCAAUUAGGAUUCGUAUCUGACGUGCAUAGCACCAGUAGUCACGUGAUUGUAGUACUAGAGCGUAAAUCAUUACUACAUCCAGUCUUGUCCAUGCAAGAAUGUUUUUGCAUAAACUCGUGUGUCAGCAUAUGUCAAUGAGCAUUUGAUAUGGUAUGUUCGUUUAUGCGAGAUAUUGUGAUUACUGGAUGUCAUAUGUUUUAUAUGCGGAAAUAUUUUGAAUGAUUGUAUUUUGAGAUGUUACUGUUUAUGAUAAGUAUGUUCAUACUAUACAUAGUAUGUUGUAUUAGGAAACUAUACUUGUUUUACGGCGAAGGGUUAUUACAUUUUUAAAAGGUUUACAAAGCUUUAUUUUUUUAGGCCCACUCACCCUUGUUUUUCGCCCCUCCACGUUUUAUUAGCAAUGUUUUUUUGUCGACGAGGAUUAUUGGCAAAUGUUGGUAUAAGAGAGUACCUUCGAUGGUAUAAUUCUUGUUCUACUUUACUUAUGCUCACAUGUGCAUAUGAGCACUCUUGCAUUUAGUCACUUUUAUGUUUAAAAUUAUUCAUAUUUUCUAAGUCACUACACUAUAUGACUUCGUCACCUUAUGGUGUUGGCCAACAUAGCUCAAUUCGGAGUCCAGUUGGACAUUCCGGGUCGGGGUGUGUCGAGAUGAUGAGAGAUAUUUCAUUAAGUGUGAAAUUUUUUUAAUUCCUUUUUUUUUCACUUUACCUUAUUUAAUGUAUUUUUUAAACUAAUAUACUUGCUUUUUUUUGUCUAUUUCAAACCAACUUCUCCAUCGAAAUGCAACACCUCAGGUACAAAAGAGUACCUAAAUCUGAUAUGGACUGAGCGGUACAAGGAGUGAAAGUAAGAGUUGUACAUGUACUACAAGAGUUGUGCAACUCCUACUGAAGGUCAUAUCGAUCAACUUGUGGAGAGGAUUCCACUAAAAGUGGUUGUGCAGUCAUUUUUAGAUCCCAGACUUUCUAGUAAGCUUUUUAUUUUUUUAUUUUUUUAUUUUUUUAUUUUUUAUUUUUUAUUUAAUUCCAAUAUUCUGUUUGUAUAUAAUUCUUUCUAUUAAUUAUUAUUUUUUAAUUUACAGUGAAAAUCGUCAGCAAAUAAGCCUAACCAGGAAGCAAACUUAUACCUUCAUCACUUUGGUCCUUGGCCCUUCUUUUUGCAGGUUGAGGAAUGACGUGAUAAGGGUUCAUUUUUCUCGAAAGUCAAGGCUUGGGCGAUAUGCAUGCCAAUUAUGGCAACCAAGUUAGACCUGGUAUUCGUGCUGUGUUUCCCGUGUUCGUGUCAUUUUCGUGUCAUACCUGAUAUCUUAACGGGUCAUGUCGUAUAACACCCGUUAAGGAAAAUAUAUUUUAAACCAAUAAAUAAUCAAAUAAAAAACAUAAUACUUUUUUUUAGUGAAAAAAAGGUUGCACGCCCAGUGGGACUCGAACCCACAAUUGCUUGAUUAGAACCAAAACACAAAUCAACCUUCUAGCCGUGCAAGAAUGGUACUACAGGCCACUGACGAAGACUACUCUUGCUAUGUGACAUGCCUAUAGGCACUAACAAUACAGAAGAUUAGACGAGACUGUAUGCAAGGGAUCCCACCUUAUUGUGAGUAUGAUGCCAUAUACAAUGGACAUAACCUAGACUUUCUAGAGUCGAUAGCUAAAAACCAGAAUCCCCCUAUCAGUUAACAAGUCAUAUAAUCCAAACUUAAAUCAUUGCAUGUUGGAACUAAUCAAAGAUAGUCAGAUUUUAAAAACAAAACAUGGGUUUUUUUUUUUCAAGAAAUGAAAAUUCGUAAUUUCGAAUGAAAAAGAAGAAACAACACAUAAGAUUUAUGAAGAUACAACAUUAAUCAAAUGAAAAGAACACAAAAAAUGUGUGUAUGUAUAGUGAUAUAAAAAUACCCAAAUAUGUAUAUCAGAGUAGAAAGAGUGAAGAGAGAGAAAGGUUGAAGAGGGAGAAAUACUUGCGUAGAGAAAUAAAGAGGAAGUGGUUGUACGAAUGGAGGAAGAGAAGAUCAUGGUUGUCGGAUUAAAGCUUUUCGGAAGAAAAACAACGGGAGAGAGGGGCUAGGAAAAACAGACGGCACCACGGCGGGUCGGGAGAGAGGGUUACGGGAGUGGGGAGAAAUAAGGGGAUUAGAGGGCUAGACUAGCUUUUGUUUUGAUCAGAUUAGUCAGAUGGAAAAAAUUGGAAAAUAAUGGAAAAUAUAAGGGUUUUUUGUGUCCAAAAAAGUUCUAAUAAUAUAAGUGAAAUAGAAUCCAACAGUACAGAUUUACUCUCAUUUAUCUUACGACUAUUAUUUAAGUAAAGUCUUUAAUAGUUUUUUAAUUAAUAUAGAAGUAUAAAAAAUAUAGAAAAUAUAUAUAAACGCUCGUAAUAACAAGUUUUACAACUUUCAUGAAGAACUUAACCGUUGAUUGUUGUUUACAUUUACGCUUCAUUUUUCUCAUCAAAUUUUUUUUUUUUCAAAUUUUCUUUUUUGAAAACAUGAUCUAUUGGAGGAUGCAAGAAGAUGAACAGUUGUUGAUAUUAUUUUCAGAGUUUUACUGUUAAUGAAAAUAUUGCUUGAUGUUUAUAAAGUUUCUACAAACUAUAUGACAACGACUCAUUUUAGUUAACCGUAAAUAUCGAAAUGUGAUAUCAAAGAUCUGAACCGUUCAUCUUCUUACAUCCGCCAAAUGAUCAUGUUUUCAAAAAAGAAAAUUUAAAAAAUGAAAUUCAGUAACAAAAAUAAAGCGUAAAUGACAAUUGACAGUUAAAUAUAAAUUUAAGGUUUAUGGAUUAUAGUGUUGAAUUUCGAAGCUAACCCCUUUAUGAAAGUUGUAAAGCUUGUCAUAGUGAUUGUAUAUUUUUUUUACAUUUUUUACACUUCUACAAUAAUAAUUAUUAAUUUUAUUAAUUUUUCCCUCAAAUAAAAAACAUUAUUCAUGAGGGUUUGAAGGAUUUUAAAAAUCUAAACGAUAAUGUAAGUGUAACCAUUAUCUACUCAUAGAGGAAUAAAAUUGAAUCAUAAGUGUUUAUAUAUUCUUUCUCAUUUUUCAUCUUGUAUGUAUGUCUUCUUAGUUCUUGCCUAUACAAAUACUACACAAAUUUAUUUUAAUUUUGGACAACAACAUGUUAAGUAAAAUUUAUUAUCCUAGUAAUGAUAAUAAGGAACUCUCAUAAUAAAAAUAAAUAAUGAUUAAAACAUUUUUUUUAACUUAUAUAGAAUAAUAAUACAAAACUAUAUAUUUAAUAUAGAAUAUAUUGUAUAUAUUAAUAUGGCUAUUGUAUUUUAUAAUAAAUCUUUUAGUAAUUAAACUUUAAAAUUAUCAAAAUAAUUCUUUUCUUAACGGGUCAAAACGGGUUACCCACUUGUUACCCGCGUGUAUACCCGUUAAGAACCCGUUAUUAACGAAUUCUUAACGGGUCACCCGAUAAUGACUCGAUAGGUUAUCGUGUUGACCUGAAACCUGUUAUUUUCGUGUUGUGUUAUCGUGUCGUGUCAGAAAUUGCCGAGUUUAAACCAAGUGACUGACACACCAACCUUUACCAACAUCAACUAGACACACCAAUAGAGGAACUAACACCUAAUACAAAGGUGUCUCUACAGUUGUUGAUGGACGGAAUUGGGUGAUGUAAAGGAAAAACUACGCGAAACUACGCGGCUAAGUACCUCGAGGGAAGCGGGACACCUUCCAAGUUGCAACAAUUGGAGAUUGAGCUAGCGAACCUGUGACAACAAUAAAAAAAAUGGGAAAGAAGUGUGACAUCCCGUCACGAAUUUUAUUGUAUUUUAUUCCUUGACACUGGGAAAUUAAGAAAAUGCCUAUGGCAAGCUUAGUGGACAUCUGAGUCCAUUUAUUUUAGUAUUUUCUUGAUUAGGCCUAGCGCCUAAUUAACUUAUUAUUUGGGCCUGACCCAAACACACACACAUACAUGUUCUUGUAGUACUCGACGACAAAAGACAUAGGUGCAAGCAGAACGGAAUUUGGAAUUCAAGCGAAGAAUCUACCAAACUACAAAGUUCAUGGGCAUUUUAAUAAUUUCAAGCUUCAACAUAUUUUUCCUAUCUAAUUUUAUUAUUUUAGUCUACUUGGGUAUUAGGUCCAGUGAAAUCCACGCGCUCACACUCUAUCUCAUUGACUCUUUCUCGUCCUUUCUCACUCAUUUCUCUUUUCACUUUUCUUUUUCUGUCUCUCACUUCUCCUUUAUCUCUCCCUCUUCUCUAUGUGAAAACCACAGAAAGCGAGCUGCCUUCAUCAAAAGGCUGCCACCUCCAAUAGCAACCACCUUUCUUCUUUCGCCCAAACACAGAACAGAAGCCCUCCGUAGCCAAACCCAGUGUGUUCGAGUUGCAAAAACCCCAAGCUGUUGGCAAACUUUCAGAGGACCCCAAAGCAAAACACAAAUCUCUUAAUAAUUACAGGCUCUUUCACCUCAAAAUCCCUUAGAAAUAAAUGGAAACCAAAUCCGUCAAAAACAAGGCAAGCUUCAAAGUUUUGCAUAACCUUUCCAAAUCAGGAAAAUCAAAUCCCUACGGGUGCAUCCCUUUGGUAUUUUCAUAUACUUUUUAUGUAUAUAUGUUUGGAUGUUUUAAUAUGGAGCGGCUUGGAGCACUAAAUAUUGAAAAAUAGGAGCUAUUUGGAGUAAGCAACAGCGUAAAAAUGACCCCAAGAGCAGACUUUCAAGUAGAAGAAAGGCAAGGUUUCAAUCAAAUAUACUAAAAAAUUGGCAGCCAAAGGAUUUGGCCAAAGUUUGGGAGUUUAAUAAAGAUUUUAAGUUGCCUUGGGCAAUGCGCAGGCAAAUGAACAUUGUGUCGAGAUUAAUCGUGUGUUUUCUUGAGGCCGGGUAGUACUGUCUACACUAAGGGCGCAGACCUUGACAUUUCCCUCGUAAUCGUCCCUAAAAGCGUGGGCCGGCAGACGGUUUUUAUGAAUUUUAUUAAAAAAUAAGUUUGAGUGUGCGCAAUGUGGAUGGCCAUAUUAAAGGAAAUUGAAUGGAUGGCUCAAUGAAGGAAGGAAAAAAAAAAAAAGAUGAAGGAAGUGUUGUGGUGAUGUGUGUGUGCGUUGAUUGGUGGAGAAAAGAAGAAAGAGGAUGGAAAAACUGCCCAACAGACCAGGAAGAAGAAGACAUUUCGGGAGAGUUUUCGGGAGAGAAGCUCGGCGAAUGGGGAGAAGAGAGAGAGAAUUUUCUGCAAUCAGAGAAGGGGAAAGGAGGAAAGGAGAGAGGGUGAGAAAGCGGAGGAAGUAGAAAAGAAGGGUUCAACCGCAACCAAGCAACCCGAUGGUUUUCCCACCUGUUUCCGUCAAAAAUUCUUAUUCGGUUUUGAUUUACUUCAAACCAAUCACUUGGAAAACCCUGCUAUGAUCUUCCCCUUUCUAUUACACAAAAAUUCGAAUAGGCUUGAAAUUGGAUGAAACCGUACGUGUGUGGUGGCUUAGUGGUAACAAAAUCUUCAUUUAAACGUUUUCAUUCCUUUCACCUUACUAAAUCCCAGCAAAGGAUAGGGAGCAACAUUAGUUUGGGUUUGGAGGUUCGAAUUGAAAACCCCAUUUCUAGGGUUUUCAUGGGUUUGAUGAAAUUGGAGUCUUUAAGCCAAAUUAAGCCUUCGCCACAGGUAUAAAGUUUACUCUACUUGAAUCUCCAUUUUUAUAAAUUUUGGUAAAUUUUUAGAAAAUAGUUGGAUUUUCCGGUGAGCUGGGACGGCCGACCGCCACCCACGGCGGCGCGUGGUCAUGAGAGGAAAAAAUUUGGCUAGCUAAGAACAAGUAGGCAUGAAUCCAAAAACAAUGCAUAAAACCAUGGACUUUUCAAGCCUAGUAUAUGUGAACCAAAAUAAACUCUUUACUACAUUAAGAGAAGUAAAGAUUUAGUGAUUCUUUACCCUUGAAGCUCAUCCUUGAUUACACAAGGGAUCACCCAAGUGGAGGGCCUUCAGUCACCUCCAGCUUCUUGAAUCCUCCUUGUGUUUUCCUCCCUUUAGUGCUUCCUUUGAUGAUUUGAGGAAAAAAGAUUGUUCUCCAAAACACCAAAAGCUUGAUGUCUCUAGUCUCUUCACCAAGGUUGUAUCUUGUGAAGAUGAUAUGGAUGACAAGGAAAGAAGAGAUUGCUAGAUGUCCUCCCCUUAGUGGCCCCCUCCUUAAAAAAUGGAAGAAAAUGUUUUCACCCAAUUUCAACAAGAAGAACCCUAAUUAGAAAAUAGCUAUAAAGUUUGCUUUUACUUUUCUUUGGUGAGUGGCAAACUUUAAUUAAGGCAAACUUUGCCAUACACCCUAAAGGCCCCGCCUUUGUUAUUCGGCUAAUUUGCCCAUUUUGUUUUAGUUGUCAUACACUUAAACAUAAGGGCCUUGUGGACCAAAACGCUUUUGGCCGGUCCCAAAACCAACAUAUAAGCCCAAUACGGAACCUCGGGUAUAAUUAAUUAACUAAUUAAUAAUCUUUACAUUCUUCAAUUAAACCAUUUAAAUUGCUUAUCCAUUUCAUUGAUUUCUUCACAUCAUCCUUAAUCGGUGUACGAUCCAUUAGGUUUCAUUAGCGAGGCAGUGGGCGAUGUUUCUUAACGAUCGAUUGUGAAUUGAAAACCAACAUUUCAAUUUUCCUUUUGUUGAUAGUGUUUGCUAACCAUUAGGGCUUCCACAAACCAUGAGUGACGCCUAGCAGCAAUAUCAUGGUUACCCAAGCAAGUAAGAAUUGGUUGGAGAACCUAUCCAGUACAACUACAAUGCAAAUACGGUCCUUCUCUAAACAAUACUCUUUAAUCACAUUGUUUAAGUGAUAGUUUGUUUCAAUGUCUACUAUCCAAUGUGAUACUUUCCUAUAAUGAUCCCUUGAAUAUGAUUUGGAACAAACUUCCUAAGUCAUAUUUUUGCUUUGGCCAAAGACCCUAGAAUCAUAUCUUGAGUAUUCUCCUCCACAUAGAAGGUUAGAGAUCCCUUGUUGUGCAUUCAUAUGCCUACAUGAUUAGAUAGCUUGCCCCAACAAUGCGUGACACUCCAAAGGAAUGCCGUUGACAGGAUCAAAGUCAAGGACCUACCAUUAAGACAUCGAUGAUGUAGUCAAAGGACUUGCAUAUUGCAACUUUAGAGUUCAUACAUGACAUGUAUGUUCGAACUCUCUUUUGAUCGUAGUUCAGUGUACUCGAUACUCUUUCGAAGCACCUAUGUUUGCUUAGUGUCCAACACCAAAUGACUGAGACUAGUCAUAUCACGCUUGAGUCAACACAACACAUACUAACCUUAGCCGAUUGGUCAAUGCCAAUUGGCAAUCCUAGGCUAGGAACGUUUGAAAUGAAACAUAAGAGAAAGGUCUCGAUAAUUAACUUACUUAGAUCAUUUAUCUCUUAGAACAAAUACAUCCUUGGAUCUCUAUUUGUUAAACACGUGAUCAAUAAAUAUGAUAACAAUAAGAUUUGGCCCUUCAUAAAACAUAUAAAAGUUUAAUACAUACAGUAUUCCAAAAGCAUUACAAAAAGAGUGGCUUUGUGGGCAUAACUUCCAACAACUCCACUUGCACCAAAGCCACCUUACCCAUGUAUCUAAUACCCCAUCUUUUCCAUAUGAACGGUCAGCCUGGAUCUGAGACAUUGGCUUUGUCAGUGGAUUAUGCUAGUUAUGGCUGAAAGCAAAUUGAGGAUUUGAUUUCCCCUCGCGAAUAUCUUCUAAUGAUAUUGAAGCGUCUUCAAUAUGCUUGUCUUUUGAUGUGCCCUGUUUGGCUUUGGUUAUCGCCCCACUAUUAUUAACAGUACAAAGUUACUGGAUGUAUGUGAACCACCACCCCAAGUUCAGUGAUGAAACUUUCUUCAUCAGAACGCUUCUUUGCCGGUUAGCUGGCAGGCGACAUAUUCAGCCCACUGUCGUGAAUCAGAUUACACUUUUUGCUUCUUAAGCUUUUCUCCAACUAACAGUCCACCACUAUUCAGAGUGAAUACAUAUCCGGAGUUUAAACUUCGCUGAUGUCAAUGGAAUCUCUGCGAUGAUAGCGACUAGUUUGCACUCUGAUAUCCUUCCUACCAGGGCAACCUGAGACUAAGUACUUAAAGAAUAUUGACAUCAACUCAUUUGCCUUAUCUCUUCAUGUUUACCAAUAUAGAAAGGUGAUCAUGGACAGACUUCUUAUGGCUAGAGUUCCAAUAAACUCACUGCCACUCCCAUCAAUUCAUAAUUGGGGAUUAGAAAGGUAAUUUCUGGGAUCUAUCACGUUCCAAUCUGGAUUCCCCAAAUCAUUAAUAGUGGGAUGGACAAAUUUUUUCAAAGAAUCUAUCAUUCCCUAAAAAAAGAAUACAAUAAUUCAUCACCUAUUUCUUCAUGUGGAUCCCACAAUUUCAAGAAAGUUCUUGUUUGAGUAAAACCACAACGUUUUGAUCUCAGUGUCGAAAGUUUUUGUCAGCUCCAUGGAUAUAAUGGACCUGAAAGCUUGCAUAACCUUAUACCUUGUCCUUUCAGACUUGGACACGAAAAGUCGGGUUGAGCUUUCCUCCUAGGGUGCCGUUCAGAAAGGCCGUCUUCACGUCCAUUUGCCAUCUCAUAAUACGGUACGGUACCAGCUACCAAGAAAAUCCGAAUGGACUUAUCAUGGCUAAGGAGAGAAAGUCUUCAUAGUCCAAUCCUCUUUUGCCUGUACCCUGGCUACUAGUCUACCUAUAUAAGUCCACGUCUCCUCUUCACGCCCAUUGAAGUUUCCAAACAGGUACAAUACUUUAUGGAGGGUUCUACAAGAGUCUAGACCAUUUUGAUACAUGGAAUCCAUCUCGGAUUUCAUGGCCUUUGCCAUCUCUUUGAAUCAUGUCGGACAUUGUCUUCAGUGUAUCUCUAGGGUCCUCCUUUGUUUCAUGUCACCUAGAAGGUACAUUCAUCAAAGUCAUUGUAUAAGCCAUACCUCUUAGUGGCUUACUAACCCGUUCAGAUCUACGUGAAGCUAAGGUUCAGGAACAGAUUGUCAGGAACAGGAUUUUCAACUUGUCGAGUGCUGUGGUUUGUGGUUCAUCAUUAUCUCAUUAAUUUCUUUCAAUUCUAUCUUGCUAGUUCCUUUAAGAACGAAUUCAUCUUCCAUGAAUAUAGCAGUUCUGGCGACAAAGACUUUCUGGUCGUCAGGGUGAUAGAAUUCGUAUCCAUAAGUCUUUAGGAUACCCCACAAAAUAGCAUUUAACGGAUCUCGCUUUCAAGCUUUCCAGCAAUCUUGUUUCUUAACAUAUGCUGGACAACCCCAAAUCUUAAGAUGUUUAAGACUUGGCUUCUUCCCAUACCAUAUCUCAUAUGGUGUUUGUGGAACAGAUUUAGAGGGCACUGCAUUUAGCAAAUAAGCUGCUGUGUGUAGUGCAUAUCCCCAGAAUGAUAUUGGUAGAUCAGCGGAACUCAUCAUAGAACGAACCAUGUUCAUCAAAGGUUCGGUUUCUUCCUCUCAGAAACUCCGUUAUGUUGAGGAGUUUCCUGGUGGAGUCCACUGUGAUACAAUUCCACACUCUUUGAGAUAAUCUAGGAAUUCGUUACUCAGAUAUUCACCGCCUCGAUCCGAUCUUAGGGUCUUUAUCUGUUUCCCAGUUUGCUUCUCAACUUCAUUCUUCAAUUCUUUGAACCUUUCAAAGGAUUAUGACUUGUACUUCAUAAGAUACACAUAGCCAAACCGAGAGUGAUCGUCGGUGAAUGUGAUAUAGUAGGAGAAGCCUCCUCUCGACGUAGUAGACAUAGGUCCACAUACGUCAGUGUGGAUUAACCCUAGAAUUUCAGUGGCACGCUCUCCUUUUCCGGUAAAUGGAGAUUUGGUCAUUUUCCCUUUCAAGCAACAUUCACAAGUACCCAUCCGGUCAUUACCUAAUGGGCGGAUAUAUCCGUCUUUCGACAUCUUGCGAAUCUUAUCAAGGUUCACAUGUCCAAGUUUAAGAUGCCACAUCUUUUCUUGGUUAACUUCUUCUCUAGCCCUUUUGGGUUUUGAGGUAUUCCCGCUUUCAAUACAGUGCGUCCCACUAUUCGUCUCUAGGUGAAAAAGUCCCUCUAUCAUAUUACCAUGAGAGAUAAUACGACCGUUCAAGUAUAAAGUGCAACUCAUUUUGUCAAACAAUACUGAGUGCCCAUCUCGUAAAAGCUUAGAGAUAGAAAUCAAAUUCUUUAUACAUGAAGGAAAAUAUAAACAAUUUUUUAAGUUCCAGGACUUCCCCAGAGGGUAGGUUAAGCAUGUAGGUGCCUAUUGCUUUUGCAGAGAUUUUAGUGCCGUUUCCCAACUCGCACAACCAUCUCCCCAUUGCGCAGUGACCUGCUCCCUGCUAGUCCCUGCAACGUAUUGCAAAUAUGUUGACUAGCGCCUGAAUCAAAUAUCCAGGAAUUGGAGCUCACUGUAAAAGCACUCUCUAUGACAGAAAUAGUCUCUUCAAAAGUUUGUGUCAUAAGGCUCGCAAUGUGCACCCUGUAUUUCUUCUUCCAACGUUCAUCCUUUCCACAAUGAAAGCAUGUUCCUUUGGAUUUCUUUGUCUUCUUCUUAUGCAACCUUUUCCUUGUGUUUGCAUUCUCACUCCCACUGUCCCUUUUGAAACCUUUUUCAAAUUUACAGCACAUGUCAAUCAUCUCUUUCAAAGAAUGAUCGAAUCUAUUCACUUUAUAGUUUACAAUAAACUUAGUGAAAUCAUCCGAGAGAGAUGCAAGGAAAAAGUCUUGGGCCAUUUUCCCAUCGAUGGAAGUUCCUAAACUUUUUAAGAUCUUUAAAUAUCUUUUCCAUCUUUUGUCCAUGUUUAUGGACCGAUGCCCCCUUUGCCAUCUUGGCAUUCAUUAAGACUACAAACAUUUGAGAAUCGUACAUUACUAGUCUCAAUGUCAUGCAUCUUAUGCAAACUUUCAACCAUGGCACAAGAAGUGUUCAUGUGCUUAUGUAGCUUCAUAAGCUCCUCACUAAGUGAAGUGAGGAUUAAGCAUUUGGCUUGUAAGUCAUCCUCAUAGUGUCUAACAUAAUUUUGACACUCCUCAUUUGAAGCUAGUUUCGUAGGAGGUACAUGAGGAGGGGAUUGCUUAAGCACAUACAAUAUGUCUUUCACCUUUGAGACAUUCUCAAUAUGGCGAUACCAAGCAAGGAAACGUUGGCCCUUAAGGCCCCUUUUGUCAAGUAUAAUGGUGGGUAUAAUUUUAGGCAUGUCGUUCACUACAUAACAUAACAGAAAUCGUAUUAGAUUGUUUGUUUAAAACUAUUUGAUUGGGUCUUUGAAUCAAAUAGUACCACCCACUAUUUUUGGCAAAUUCCACAUCCCUCAAUAGAAUUCAAGAGUUAUAUUGAACUCUUAG